This 48856-nucleotide long non-coding RNA is filed under the name Malus domestica (apple). Its description in RNAcentral is "long non-coding RNA (MDOM_LNC005167)". The record is from RNAcentral. Lineage: Eukaryota; Viridiplantae; Streptophyta; Magnoliopsida; Rosales; Rosaceae.
GAGUCCAAACUUUAAAUGCGGUAGUUCCAUCCUAUACGAAUAACGUACCGUCACAUAUACGAAAAAAAAUGUUCAUCGUAGCACAAUAUAAUAUGUAUAACAAAGACAAGAUAUUAAUAAUGAUGCAAGUAGUAAAUUUCUAAACAUAUUUCUUUUAUUUGGAUUCAGGUAUGGAGCAACGACAGAAUAAAAGCUUGCCAACAUCGAGUAAAACAUCGCGGAGACAAGACAAGAUACUCUCUCGGUCUGUUUACAUUCAACAAUGGAGUCAUACAAGUACCAAAAGAACUAGUGGACGAUGAGCACCCGCUGCUCUAUAACCCAUGUGACAGUCGUGGCUAUACACGAUUUCAUGCUUCAGCAGAGUCCAAGAAGGCAGCUUCUCGUAUCAAAGCUUACUGCGGCAUCCAAGUUGAAAACUAAAAUUUACGGUUGUCGUCGAGAUAUAAAAUCGUGUAACAAAUAACUUGCCCUAUUCGCUAUAUAUGCGCAUUCUAAAGAUUUUUAUUUUAGUUUUGAAUCUAAAAUAAAGAUGUGUUUGUUUGUUGAUUUUGAUACGAAUGAAAGAGAGAUUUUUUUCUUUUGAUAUGGACACUGUGUUCUCAUGCAUAAGGAUGACGUUGGGAACAAAGGCUAAAGACGCUAUGUGCUUGGUUAUGAAUAUUUUCAGUUUCCAAAAAAAAAAAAAGCUUAAUAGUAUCGAGUUUCGUGCGUGAAGUCUUUUUUGUCUCAGAGUCAUACCUAAAGUGUUAAUUUUAGGACAGUCACAUACAUCGUUAAGUUUUCCAUUAGAACUUCUGUUAACUGGUGAUAUAACAGGACAAUUACUGGACACCAUGUGUCAGCCCACUUUAAUAUUAAAAAAAAUAAUUUAAAAUUUUUUUAAAUUUAUAAAAAACAAACAGUCGUCUCCUCCAUCCCCUGCACCCUCUCAUCCCUACCUUCUCUCUUCUGCAACCCGCACCCCUUCCCUCCCUUCUCUCUUCUGCACCUGCACCACCAUCCCUUCUCUCCUCUGCAACCCGUACCCACCCUCCCCGCACACUCAACUCAACAAAAUCCCACCAAAGGAAUUCCAAUUCAACAAGAAUUUGGUAUUUUCAAGUAUGGAUCUUCUAACCCAGAAAAUGCAAUCGAAGCAAGUGGAGGAGACCCAAAUCCUCCCAAUUUCCCAGAAAACUAUAAAGUUAAAAGAAAAAAAAAUUCAGAUCAACUAAUAUUGGGUUUCUUUUGUGAACCCAGAAAAUUUGGGGUCUCUUUCGAAGUGAAAGAAAACGGAAAUAGAAAAGGAAAAUCAUAAGGAAAAAGGAAGAAGAGGGGAGGAAGAAGAAGAGACGGGAGACUAGAGAAAAGGCCAGCGCCGCUGCAUCAAUGGCAGAUUUUGAAGCUGCUUCAGCAGCUGAUGCUGAGUCUACAAACUGCAUAUGUCCUCCUUCACACCACAGCAUGCGAUUCGCAUCACAGGAGGGACGUACAUCAACAGCCGCAGAGGGACGUAAAUCGAAGGCCUUGGCGUACUCAGUGGCGAUGAGGGAAGGUUAAGAGGCGAUGAUAGCCGCCAAGGAAGCCUCCACGGCAGCAACACGAGACUCCAAGGUAGAGUCGCAAGUAGCAGCGGAUCGACCGGCGUGCACAGAAAGGAAUCCAGGAAUCGAUAUAGGUGAUACCAUUGUUAGAACUCAAAUCUCAAACCCUAACUCAACCUUAACUAAUGCACAUAGAAGAGAGGGAAGGAGGAAGAUAGAAGGAGCAGAGCUCCAAUAUUUUUUUUGUAUUGAUUUCUUGGUGUAAAUUUUGAUUUGGUAGGAGGGCUUGGUGGGUUCUUGCAAAGGAGAGAAGGGUGGGAGAAGAACGGACGGAGCGAGGGAGAAGAGGGUGCGGGGAUGUGGGAGGAGACGGCUGUUUGUUUUUUUGUUUUAUUGUUUUAAGUUUUUUAAUUUUUAAAAUUUAAAUUUAUUUAAUUAUUUUUUUAAUAUUAAAGUGGGCUUAUAUUGUUUUUCUGUUUUAUUGUUUUAAAUUUUUAAAUUUUUAAAAUUUAAAAUUAUUUAAUUAUUUUUUUAAUAUUAAAGUGGGCUUAUAUUGACACGUGUGGCUUCCACUAAUUAUUCACGUGGACACUACGUCAUCAGUUAACAGAAAUUCUAACAGACAACUUAACGGAUAUAUAAGACUGUUCCAAAAUUAACAUUUUAGGUAUGACUUUGGGACAAAAAAGAUUUCAUGUACUCAAUGUUGAAAACCACAAAACUUAAGAGUAAUAAACAAAGAUUAACCCAAAAAAAAAUAUGACGUUGGGAGGUUACCAAGGAAGAAGUAACUGUCCACACCAACGUCAUCAGUUUGUUCUCAUGCAAAAAGAUGACGUUGGGAGGUUAAGAAGGAAGAAGCUGUCCUCGCCAACAUCAUCUUCGCAUGAGAAGAUGCUACCUUUGGUAGGCUUUUGUUCAUCCGUUUGAAAAGUGGCAGGAACAUGGACUAGAGAGGAGAAUAUUUGAAAUAAUAACUCUGUAAGUGGAAGACUUCCAUGAAACAAAUUCACCAUCAUUGUAGAGUUACAUUUCAAUACCUACCUACAGUAUCAUGUGUAAGUUUCUCUUCAAAUAACAUUGCCCCACGGGGGAAUGAAACCAUGUUUCAUGCAAAUUGCUCUCAACUGACAAAACACUAUUUUUUGUGCCGGUGAUCCAAUAGCAAGAGGCAUCAGCAAGUACGAAUCCCUAUUUGAAACCGUAGCACAAAGCAUUUGAUUAUGGAAUCAAAACAUAACCCUAACUAAUCAUUCAUCACUAUCGUCACUGUCAUAUUGGCACAAUGAUUGUAAAACAUUGGUUGUAGCAUUGGUUUUGCUCUUAUCUGGUUUUGUCGAAUUUUGAACCUCCUCUCCCGAUUGUUUCUUCUUGUCUUCUGCUUCCGCUGACUUUUUGCCUUCAACCGCAACUGGUUUCUUAACUAUAGCAACCCUAACAGUGGAGGACUUAAAAGGGAAUUUAGCAGCUUCUGAGCCAUUUCGAUUCCCUGUCAAUAGAAAAAUAACAAAAAAGCUCAAUAAUUUCAUAUGGAGAGAAUCCAGAAAGAAACAAAUGAUUGAUUCAGGGGCGAGAACAAUCUGCAUGUGUUGUCUGAACUACCUCUAUCAGAAAUACUGCUGUUUGUCAACCAAUCUGUUGAAUUGGUAGGAAGCCCGUGAGUAAGCUUUUUCCGCUGCAUGGAAAAUAUGUGCAAACAAACAUUAUAAGCUUACCAUUGUCAGUUACACAACAUGCAGAUAAUAGUUGCAACAUAAAAUGUGUUGAUUGUUAUUUAAGCAAGUUGAGGGUCUAUAGACCACACAACAAGGAAUUUAUUCAUUUCCCUCCACAGGAUGCCUGACAUAUAGAAACCAGAAUCAAUUUUCAAUUGCAAAUGCAGACGCUACAAAAAUUUUCCCCUAGACACAAUUGCAGAAUAGCACAGGGUUGGAAAGAGACGAGUGGAUGGAUGAAGCAUAAAGCUGAGUUAUUUUGAUUAUCGUAUUUGCAAGAAUCAUCAUGCAAUUUCUAGAUGAGUAUAUAAGAACACAGGAUAAACACCAAUAACAAAAACCGCACACUUGUUAUACACCAUACCAGGAUGAGGAUAAAAACCAAAUAAAGUAGAGCUGGAUCUAGAACCAAAAGUCCAACAUACUAUGUAUUCUUUGAUAAGAUGCCAACAUGUAUAUAUCAAACAACUAAUAUGGCGUACCUUCGGUGAGGUUUCACCGUUGCCACUUAAAGGCUCAAUCAUAUCUUCUUCAUCAUCUAAAUCUUCAUCGUGAAUUCUUUUAAUAUAGUCUUUUGAGUUCUGCAAAAAUUUUUUCAGUUGUAUUAGAAACAAACAGCCCUCAAGAAAGAAAAGUAAAAAUAAAAGCAAAAAAAUGACCCCAAGGAGAAUUAAGUUGGACAUAAAACAAAGUAGUGCAUAAAUACUAACAUGGAAUACUAUUGAUUUUAUGACUGCUUCAUCCUCCUCUUCAAUCCUUUUUUCCUGUGAAAAACAUCAAUCUUUGGUAAACUCACUAAUAAUAAAACUGCAACUACACAAGUAGCAGAGCAAGUUCAAGAUAAAAAUGAAUGCACAAACAAUUACCAUUUUGUUUGAAAGUACAAGUAUAUGUAAAUGAUAAAACUCUUCAAUCCUUUACAUUCACCUUCCAAGGUAAUGUAUCACGUUUCAAUAAACUAAACACAUAAGGUUUUUGGUUUACCCAUGGUUCAGGACACGAAGAUAAUUUGACUCACUUCCAACAUAUUAAAUAAGUUGGCACAAGAAGCCUAUCAAAUUUCUUUGGUUAUAUAAUUAUUGUACCCUGAAUUACUUGAUGUUAUAACAAAUUCAUGGAAACCACAACAUCAGAGCUGCAAGUAUUGCACACUUAAGGAACCAUGCUCCUACAUGUUUCUGCAUUACAACAACUAAACAAAUCCACAAGCGUAUAGCACACAACAUAUGACACUGGACAGGGAACAAUACCAUAUAUACAUGCAUGUGUAUUUAUUGGUUUAAAGUUUAAAUUGGUCUAUAUAUGAACUGCUUAUAAAUCGUACCUUUUGCACGGAUGUUUGUUUCAAAGCCUCCAACAUAGCAUCCACACUCACAGUCGCAUGCCUGGACUGAAAACCAUAAGCCUUGAAUUAGUAUCAGAGGAUAUUGACAUGCAGCUGACACAAAGGAAUUGAAUAAAUGCAUAACAUAUUAUUCAUAUACGUACUGACAGAAACAGAAAAGUCGUGCAUUACAAUUUAAUGGCAGAACUGCAUGAUUACAUCAUGCCCAUCCAUCGAUCAAAUUACAAAAGAAUAAAAUUUGACGACUUAUCACUAGACAAACAACUACUGAGACAUCUACCUUCAUGGACUUCAUCUCAUCCAAGGCAGCCAUGACGUCCAUCUCUCUUUUUGAAUCCUGUGUUCUAUUCUCCAAGGCUCUCAUAGCAUCUCCCAUUUCUUCGGACUCCCUUUUCUGUUUCUCCUUAUCUACUUCCUGAAAAGAAAAAACAAAUACACAAAACAAGCGGUUAAGCAAUGUUCAUCACAGCAUAAGAGAACCUGAAAACAUGAAAGAACGGUAAGUGGAAAGUCAUCAUUUUUGUUUCUGUUUUACCUCAUCUUCAUUGCGCCAGGGUUCAAAAUUACGUGUCGCACCAGCCUCAACAACAUAGUCAGAAUUCUGUGGGUCUGUCUUCAUCGCGAGCUCGGCAGAGCACUUGGUACAUUUGAAGUAAAAUCUGAAUAUUUGAAUUCCCAAAUACGUCUGCAAAUGAUAAAACCAUCAAUAACCCAGUUCACGCAACACAACAAAAACCCUAUUAAACCUAUAAAAAAAAUCAAUCAAUCAAUCAAACACCAAUUCCCUCAUUCUCCUAAAAAAAAUUUAAAAAAAAUUUAAAAAAAACCUAGAAUUCAAAUCAAAGCGAAUCAGGCUAUGCAAUUAAAAAUCCUGGUGAUUAAAGAACGACCCACGAACCUCUCCAACGACAUCUUCUUUGCGAGAAUUAAAUUUGGUGCCUUUGUAGAUGUAAUUGCCGCAGGUGUUGCAGCGAAUGCUCAUCGGAAGCAUCAUCCGCACCUUUAUCUGUUGAUUCUUUGGCCUCCUGAUCCUGGGCAGCUUCGAGGGGUCGAAGUCCGGCGGAUAGUACUUGUUCAGAACCUUACGUUCUCCCAUCUUUGAUGCUCUUCGAAAACCCUAAAUCUCCUUGAUUCAACUCGAAUUGCUUCUCUUCUGAUCAAAAUUUCACAGGAAUUCAGUCGUCAAAAUUUCUCAUUUCCCUAACUUAAUCGAUACAUUUAUGUAUAUAUCGGCGAAAGCCGAAACAAAGAAGAAUUAAUGUGAAAUUAGGAGGAGAGGAGGGAGUGGAAGAUGAUACCUGUUGAGCGUUGAGUGCGCGAGUCACUUGGGAUUGUUAGGGAUUUUGGAGGGAAAAGAACUCAAGAAGAGAAAACCCAAGGGCGGGAUUUGUCCGUGCCGCCACCGUCAGGUUUUUCUUCCAUUUAUCCAUUAAGUAUCACGAGCCAAACACGUGACUCACGUAUGGGGGCAAAAUGGCCCUGUCAAGUGUUUUUUAAUUAAUUACAAGCAUUUUUAUAAGAAAAAAAAUUUUAAUCAGUUUUUAAUAAAAAAUGCAAGUUAACUUUAGAAAAAAAAAAACACUAAAAGUGCUUUUGAAAUUUUUUUUUUUUAUAAAUAUUUUCAGAUAUUUAAAAGCACUUUUUUACGCAAGUCUUGAGACAAUUAGAGCAAUUCCACCCCUAAGGACUUUGCGCCAACACCCAGCGCAUUUAUCCACUCAAAUGAACAGUAACAGACUCCAAUGAACAGUAAUAGGCCAAGGCACCUCUAAAAAAAUGCGCUGGCACCUAGUGAAAAAAUGCGUUGGCACAAACGAUCUCCAUCCCUACAAAAUACGAUGGCACCCAGCCCAUUUAAAAUAUUUUUAAAUUUUGUCUAAAAGAAUAAAAAAAUAAAAUAGUUUUAAUUUCGGAUAGGAUUUUUAACCAAUCUCGUCACGUCACAUGUCAUUAUCUGAACGUACUAUUUUGUGAAUAGAUUUCCGCUAAGAUUUUCAACCAAUCCCGACACGCCACGUGUCACUUCCGUUUUACAAUAAUUUAGCCAAGAUUUCGAUAAGAUUUUCAACCAAUCACGUCAUGUCACGUGUCAUUAUCUGAACGUACUAUUUUGUGGAUAGAUUUCCGAUAAUAUUUUCGACCAAUCCCGACACGCCACGUGUCACUUCCGGUUUACAAUAAUUUAGCCAAGAUUUCAAUAAGAUUUUCAACCAAUCACGUAGUGCCACGUGGCAUUGGCCAGAACCUCAUCCUUUCUUUUUUUUGUCCAUAUAAACCCUACAUCCCUACAUCCAUCCUCACACCAAGCUCAAUCCUUCUUUUUAGCUCAGAAUCCUUGUUCAUCGUUUUCAAAUCAUGAGUUCUUAUUACAAUGUCUUCUUCAAGAAGGGUGUAUAAACAGUUGCAGGAGCAACAACAAAGGUUGUUGGCACAACAGGCAGAAUUGGCCAAUCUCGAGGAAGGUGGAGGUGGAGGUGGAGAUGAGGCUUUCUUCAUGGAGGAGGAUGAGGAUGAUUACCAUAGAAGGCAGAAGGCCUCACAUUCCCGCCGUGUCAUGGAAGCCGUGGGCCAGAUAGCCAAACCAAGACGUGUUGCAAACCUCGAUAGAAAAAUGGAAAAACAAGGUAAAAAUCUAUUGGAAGAUUAUUUUAUUCCCAAUAGCAUAUUCCCUGAUCAUAUUUUUAGACGGUGUUUUAGAAUGCAACGAAAGUUGUUCAACAAAAUCAUGAGUGAUAUUUGCAACCAUGAUUCAUACUUUGUGCAAAAAGAGGAUGCUUUUCAUGUUCUAGGUCUUAUUCCCAAGCAAAAAAUUACGGCAUCCUUGCGAAUGCUUGCAUAUGGAGCAUCUGCAGAUCAAGUGGAUGAGAUCACGAGGAUGGGAAAAACAACUGUUUUGGAGUCCCUGAUGCGGUUUUGCUCUGCAAUUGAAGCCCUCUACACCAAUGAGUACCUCCGGACACCCACGCCAAGGGACAUGCGAAGGCUUCUGAGGAAGGGUGAGAUGCGAGGCUUCCCUGGCAUGAUUGGAAGCAUUGACUGCAUGCACUGGACUUGGAAAAACUGUCCAAGUGCGUGGCAAGAAGCAUAUGGCAACAGAAAAUGAGCCAAAAGCAUCAUUUUGGAAGCGGUGGUUUCAUUUGAUACAUGGAUUUGGCAUGCUUUUUUUGGUGUUCUAGGAGCUCAGAAUGACCUAAAUGUCCUUGCCCAAUCCCCAGUGUUCGACGAACUGCUGCAAGGAAACUCGUCGAGAUGCACAUAUUGGGUUAAUGGUACCCAAUACGAGGGAUCAUACUACCUUGCAGAUGGCAUUUACCCAAGGUGGUCAACAUUUGUCAAAACAGUGCCACAUCCAUUGACUGAAAAGGGAAAACACUUUGCAAAAUGUCAAGAAGGGUGUAGGAAGGAUGUCGAGCAUUGUUUUGGUAUCCUGCAAGCUCGUUGGGUGAUUAUCAGGGCUGCAACUAGAAUGUUUGAUGUCGAGGCUUUUCGAUCCAUCAUGAUGACGUGUAUUAUUCUCCACAACAUGAUUGUUGAAGAUGAGUAUGAUUAUGAUGUCGUCGAUGAAUAUGAGCCGGAUCCGAUGAACAACUCAAGAACACGUAUCUAUUGUGCUCAUGAUGGGACCGAAGAUCCAGUGCAACACGAGCCGUUGGAACGCGAUGGACGUUACAAUGAAUUGAUCGUUCAGCGGUACACUAAUGUGCAAGAGCCAUACUGGCACGUAACCUGCCAGAAUGACUUGAUUGAGCACCAGUGGGGAUUGCAUGAAGGCGAAGAUAAUUAGAAUGAGGCUUGUGGUUGAAGAAUAAAUUGUAUUUUUUUUUUAAGUUUAUGUAAUUCUAUGUAGUGUGUUUUGUUUUUAAGUUUAUUUGGUGAGUUUAUGUAAUUCUAUUUAUUUGGUGAGUUUAUGUAAUUCUAUGUAGUGUGUUUUGUUUUUAAGUUUAUUUAGUGAGUUUAUGUAAUUCUAUUUAUUUGGUGAGUUUAUGUAAUUCUAUGUAGUAUGUUUUGUUUUUAAGUUUAUUUGUAGUAUGUUUUGUUUUUAAGUUUAUUUGGUGAGUUUAUGUAAUUCUAUUUAUUUGGUGAGUUUAUGUAAUUCUAUGUAGUGUGUUUUGUUUUUAAAUUUAUUUGGUGAGUUUACAUAAUCUUAUUUCAUAUGAAAAAAUAUUGAAAUGUGGUGUAAAGGUGGAAGAUGAGAGUUAGGUAUUUAUAGGAAAAAAUUUAACAUUUUUCAAAAUUUUCUGUAUUUUUUAAUAAUUUUUCUGUAUUUUGUUAAUAAUUUUUAAUGAAUUUUAAUAUAGUUAAUUAAUCUGGACUGUUGGAUUUGAAAAAUAUUCAAAUCCAAGAGACAGGGAGUUGCCACGUGGCCAACAGUCAUAUUUCUAACCGUUGGGCCUUUUUUUUUUUUUUUUUUUUGUGAAAAAAACGUGGACCGUUGAUCUUUGAUUCGACGGUCUAUUUUAAAAGUAAAAUUUAAAUUUUUUUUACCGUUGGAAAUCCAACGGUCUAGAAAACUAGCCGUUGGAAAUCCAACGGCAAAAAGGGAGCCACGUCACCAACUCGGGGGGGGGGGAACUGAGUGCGCUUGCACGCGGGCCCGCGCUCUGAAAUCCUGUCGGGCACUCGCGCCAACGCCUCCAUGAAGCGCACGCGCCAGGCAAACUGCCCAGCUUCUUGCUCAGUCUCUUUUGGGCUGGUCCAGAGCCCAGCUCGGGCUGGGUACCAGUCAAGUUGAGGGGGUGGACUUGGUUGACAGGAUGCUGGCCUUGUUUUUGUGCUGGGUCCUGGGCAAAGUCCACCGGGGUGGAAUUGCUCUUAUGGAACUCUUGAACUGGCCUAAAGCUCAAUUAAGUACUGCCUUACCGUUGGUGUUGUCUCGGACUAAGAAGCUAGACUGUAAUUUUAAGAAACCGUCCCAAAUAUUAAAAAAAAAAACUAAUAAUUUUAAAAACUUAAUCAUUACAUUUUUCAAUUGAGUGUCAGUUUUAAUCUCAGAUUGGGGUCUCAACUUCAAUUUUCAACUCAAAUAUUUCAACGAGUACAUGAAAACUCAUGGAUAAAAAUAAGGAAAACUAAUGAAAAUGACUUGAAAACUUUGAGUUUUAAUGAUAAAGACAAAAUAAAGGGUAAAGUGAAUAGUAACAUGAUUGACUUUUUAGUGUAAAAAUGUGGUUUUUCGUUAAAGUGAACAGUACCGGAUGCUUUUCGUUAAAAUUCCAAUAAAAAUAUGAUACAUGAUUACUAGAAGCUGUGUAAUAAAUUAAUAAUCAAAAAAUAAAAAUAAAAAUAAUAUGCUUGUACAAAAACUGCCCGGCGGGUAAACUCCUCCGAUUCAAAAUUGCUUCAACUCCGAAGGCACGCCCUUGCAUUUUCCCGCAUUAGGAGAUGUACUACUCCGUUGGCGCCCAACUCCAUCAACAGCCUGCAGCAGAACCCUGGUUUGCCUGAAACAAGCCACACGUUACGAAAAGACAUAACAAAGAGAAAACAUAAGGAUACCAAGAUUAAGAGGAGAAACAGAACGGCGCAGCAUAUACAAGCAUCCUACCGAGCAAUAAACUAGUCAUCCUCCAUAGGCACCUCUGGAAUGUCAAACCAAUCCUCUUCGAAAGGUUUAUUGAUCACACCAACUGGAGAAGGUAUGCGAAGUCAAGGGGAACACAGAAUACUUUCCCUGUUUCAAUAUAUGCUUGGAACUCAAUGCUAAUUGCUAAAUAUUGCAAGAUCGCAUGCCAUUAGCAGCUUACAGUUCACGUUUUCAGAUGCAAUACAGAAAGGAAAAAAAAUUAACUAUUGCAAAACAAAUAGUACAGAUAAAAAAGGAUAUCAAUUGACAUGAGAUCAUCCUCUUUCUCACCACGAUUGCGGCUAUUUUCUAGUUCCCUUCUUAUUUCAGGGGUUACCUACAAUUGAAUCGCCAAAUACAGAUUACAUAUUGCCAUGGAGUUAUAGCCACAAAGUUAUAGAAAUGAAAUGCCUCAAGAGAAAAUGCUCCUACCAAAUAGUGUUUUUGCGUUUCAAGAAGAUUUCUGAGAUUAUCUUUAUCCUCCUUUUGCAAUUCAUUUUUGUACCUGCAAGGGAUUACACCAGCUGUAUAUGAGGAAAAAGACGAUCCAAUUACGCUAACUAUCAUCAAUAUGCAGUCUAAUCAUCAUUCAGGCACAGAAGAGAUUAUUAAAACUUUGCCCACCUUUGCACAAAUGUAAGAAGUGACUGGUGCCAUAUCACAGGCAUUACUCUUGUUUCCUCCAUAAAUCUCAUAAAAUGUGCAACAAGAGCGUCGAGUACGCGAUAUGGCAAGGCAUACUUUUUAUCCAAAAGAAGCUUUAUAAAAUAACUGCAACAAUUCAUAAAAACAGCAUUGUCAAAACAAUGUCGCAUGCAAGGACCUUCUCCUUUAUAUUAACAAGAAGAGUGCUUCCAAACUGACCAACCAUCAACUAUCUAAAUUCAUUAUAGUGGAUAAAUGUCACGAAAGGAAACUGAUAGAAAUUGUGCUUCAUACAGGGAGGUUUAUUGAAUCAGAUCUUCUACAUUUUUCUACUGCUCGGAACGUUAGGCCUCCCCACCAUACAUUUCACCAUAUAAAAAUCGUUUUGGCUUGAACGUCUUUCAAGUUAACAAAUAUCUUAAACCUUUUUUUCAAACUUUUACAGGCACAAAUGCACCUAUCUUGCAACCACAUACUCUAAGAGAAGAUAUGUCUUUAUUUCUUUCAAACCAUUUUGGAAAUACUAACUGUUACAUGGUUCAAUACCUCGUUGUGCCACAGUAUUUCAUUUCUGCAAGCUUCAUUAAUGCAACACUGAAAAUACAGCAAAAGCAUGUAUCAGAUAUCUCCCAGGUAGAUUAUAAGGACCGUGAAUAAACAGUAUAACUUCCAACAUCAGAAACAGAAAAUGAAAGAAUAACUUGCUAAAGACAAGACAAGCAAAACGGAAAAGUUAACCAUAGAUUGCUAACUUAAGAAAUGAGAUAUAAUCAAGAGAUUUGUGCAUAACAUUUUUAAGUGGUUCUUAAAAUUAUUUUAAAAAAAUUGAUGCAAUUGACUGCUCACAGCCUUUCUAAAUGUAGGAAUACAUUGCAAGCCAACUGGUAUAAACUAAACGUAGUAGUUAUGUUAAAAGUAUAUUCUAGAUAAAAAUAAUCCAAAUAACAGAUAUAAUCAACUUCUAUUUCUUUUUAAAUCCUUAUCAGAAUGGCUUCUAAGCCGUCACCCAACAAACUCUUCAUCUUCAAGGGUCUAUUUGGAAGCCUUCCGUUCUGACAAUGGCAAAUUGGUUCAUAACUUAUGGAAUCAAUACCAAAUCUUGAUAAGGCAGCUUACAUACCUAGAAUGAAGUGGAGGAAUGGAGACCUUCUGUAUAAUGCUCCCAAAAAUAACAGCUUCCCUUAGAUUACAUGUCCCUGACUGUUCAAGAAGAAAGAGAAAUGGAGCCAUGGGGGAAGUGCAUUAGAAUUAGGAAAACAUCCAUUCCAAAACCGUAAAAACAUUUUAGAUCCAUGCAUCCCAUUAAUAUAAUGAAAUUGAGGUGAAUAUCAGAUCUCAAAAACUUAGUUUGGAUACAUCCGAAUGAACUAGCAAAAAGGUUAGCAUCAUAAACCCGUAACUUCAGUAUGACAGAGAGAAUGAAAUCAAUGAAUGAGCUUCUGAAACAAACAAACAAACAAUGCUUAAACUUCAAAAUACUGCAUUAGAUGGAGAAGGAUGGCAUGUUUACCUCACACAAGGGAAACAGUAUUCCUAUAAAAAAGGCCGCAGGCUUGUACAAAGACUUCUUCAAAGAUUGAUAUAGUGCAAAAUGCAAGCGCUUGGGUUUGCGGAUGUCUUCCCUCACCCUUGGGAGCAACACAAGCUUGUAGAAACGUUCUACCUUCUCCUUACUCAAAUUGGAAGCAAAAAUCCUCGUAGCUUGAUACAUUGCAUUUGGUGACCAAUUCUCAGGCUCAGUCAAAUAUAGGACAUCCUCCCAUCGUGGCACUGAAGGGAUGUGUUUGAAUGCCUUGGGAAUCUUUCCAGCAGUGUACUUAUUAAGAAACUUGCCAACCCUGCACAAACAUCGAAAAAGUAAGACGUCGUCCUCAUGGCCUAGCAUUACUCGAAUAACAGAUAUGCUAGGAUAGCUUGAUUACCCCUUAUACAAAUCUAUGACAGAGGUAUCCAAUUUAGGCAGAGGCCUCGCAUCUGCAACCGAACAAAUCAAAUCAACAAAUGAAAAUAUACUAAAGAAACGACCUUCAGCUUUAGCUAAUGAAAGAAGGAACAACAAAAUCAUAUUCCAUAUCUACCUGAGCCGACAUUUGAAUCGUUCUCUUUAAUUCUUGCGACAAUGAGGUCUGCCAGAGUACGCUGCGGACCGGCAUCCUUUGACAAGAAUUGCUCCAAUAUUUUCUCAUCAUGUUCAUCAAUCUCAUGUAAUGGCUUCUCGCCAUUUUCAUCACUUUCCUGAAACUCAUAUUAAACAUUUUUCAUUCACAAAUCAAAUUAAUUUCAUCCAAUUGAAACCUAACAAUUAAUAAAAUUAAUUAAACAACACAAUUCAGCAUUCAUUUUACAUUUCCUUUGUUUCCUCACAGAUUCUCACCAUUCAAACAAACUCAAAAAUCCAAUAAACAAACAAUUAGCGAUCAAAACUCACAUCAUAACCGUCAAAUCGGCUCUGCGUUUCAGAGAAUCCACCGAAAUCAUCGAUAUCCUCCUCUUCGCCGUCGGCCACCUCCUUCCGCGGCUCUUCCGAUACAUCCAGAAGCGAAUUGUUAGGGUUUUGAGCGCGGUUCUCCUCGUCCUCUAUCUCCCGCUGCUGAGCCAGAGCCUGUUUGAGGAUCUUAGAGCUCAUUCCGGAAGAUAUGAGCUUCUCCUCCUGCUGGUGCUGCUUCGACUUGGUCCGCUUCUUGGAGGCGACGGAGCCAUUUUCUUCGGCGAGGAACGGCUCCGGAUUCUGGUGCCUCUCUCUCUGCCUCUUCUUGCCCAUUGAUGCUGGUGCAGCUGCAGGCGAAGCCUUUUCUGCUAUUGAAACUGGAAAGUUAAAACCCCCGCCACCUGGAUUUCUUCAGUCUAAAACCCUAACCAUAGACAAAUUGCGGACCAAAAAUUAAAAGAAAAAUCUAGUGGGCCGGAAGGGCCCAACAGGAAGGCAAGAGAAAUACGAAUGGCCCACCUAAUAUUCUAACAAGGUGACAAAGGCCCAAGAAGAGCCCAAACUGAACCAAAAUCUAAAGAUUUUGUUCUAAUUUCUAUCUUAUUUUUCUUUUUUUAUGGAGAGUAUUCUUUUCUUUUGUUGGAUUAUAAAAUGAUAUUUUAAAUUAUUUUAAUUUACGGGAUUUAAGGUUUAAAUUUAUAUAUUUUGGUCUAUAUUGAAAGCUUAAAGUUAAAUGGAAAGGGAGCUGACCAACCUGAUGUAAUAAUCGUUAGAACAACUUCAAUGCAUAGUGUGAAAUUGAAGAUGUAAGUGGACCCUUUACAUGUACGCAAUAUCUUUUGGUGCAUUCUACUUUUUAAUAUUGCCUUCCUCUAAUUAUUCUCUUAUGAUUCUUCAUUUCUCAAAGUGUGUCAAUUUUCCUUCUGAAUUCGAAUUUAAGCUUUGUUUCGACGGGAAAUAGCAAGAUAAGGUACUAUUCUUGAUGAAUUUGCUAUUGUGGGAAAACAGAGAAACAGAAAGGCAUGGUAGAGAACGGGAGCUAAUAUUAAAUUUUGCUUAUAAGAACUUGAAAACACCACAUAUUGUUAGAAAUAAUAGCGUCAGUUACAUCCAGAAAGACACAAUAUGAAACUUGACCGAAGAUACAUAGUGUACUUUUGUUCUGAAGUCUGAAAUUCGCGAAAUAUCCACAUGUUUCAACGUGUGAUAAACUGUAUAUGCGAUUUUGAUAACAUCCCGGAAGCUGUUCUGAAUUCCUUACCCUGCAAAUUAGUUUACUGGCAUCUAAACUGACUGAUCUGCCAAACCUGGUAAAGAAGAUUACAAAAAUAACCAGGAGACUUGUAAGUUGCUUUUUCAAUUCAUAAUUUCAUAUCACAAAAGUAUGGCCAUGUUUUAUUUUUCACUUCCAAUUGUCUGUAUUUAAAAUGUGAUGUGCACAGUUAACAUCGAAUGUUGAUGGAUAGCGGGGGAAGCAAUUGCGUUGGUCCAAUAUGUCCAAGCAACAAGGAGAUACAUAGGAAAUUGAUCGGUGAAACUUUGGUUGCACAAAAGAAACUGUAAAUGGUAUCAUGAUAUUACCUCAUCGACUAAACCACUUUCAACCAGAACCAGAAAUCAAUCUGAGUUUUUAGAGAUAACCUGCAAUUUCAGAACCUCUGAAAUCAGAUUCAUAGCCAUCUAUAGUAUAGUACAAGGAAAUCAAGGCACCACAGGUAGAGGAUAAAGAAAAAUGUGAGAGUACAUAGUUGAUAAGUAAGACUGAUGAACAUGCAUAUUAUAAGCUUACCUCUAGUAUUAAUGCUUUGGCAUGCUCUUCCCACUCAGUAGCCCACCUCCCAGAUGAAGCCAUUUCCAAUGCACCGUUCCUGAGAACCUUCAAGGAACCACAUGCCUCUGGAAAACCCUUGAACAGCAUCUGUACAGGUUAUAAGAGAGAUAUUAUCACGAAGAUGGUGCACUAAACAGUAAUCCAAAGUUUUGAGUCGUUGAAGUUAAGCAAAUUACGUUAAUAUUGCAGUGGUUAGUCUACCAUGCAUAUUAGUUUCAUCUAUUAACCACCAUGACAUCCACUAGGAGACACCAAAAUAUAUAUGAUUUGCAUUCUUUUUUACUGCAUUUCAUGCAUUUCAAGUUACAUGAAUUGCAUAUGAGGUUUGUUACGCAAGUAUUAAUUGUUACAAUCAUUUUAAGUAGCAGUUGAAACAUCCCGACAGAGAAACAAGCAAGCUGGCCAACUUACCAAAAGUUCAUCCGCUAGUUCUGAAGACGAUGAAAACAGAAGGCCGUUUUUCUCAACUUGCACUAGUUCCUUGAUGCUUUGAAAAAAGAUUACCAUAACCAAGGACAUCAGAUUUUAAUGUACAGCAUCCCCAAAAGUCCAUAUAGAAUGUCAUAAUAAGUAAGAUUCCUAUCGCAUAAAGAAAGUAAUUAAUAAAAAAAUGAGUUUACCAUGAGUAGGAAACAGCACAAACUGGCAGUCCACAGCCAAACAUGUCCACGACCUACUGCCAAAAAAUGUACAAUAACGCAAAGUGAAAAGCAGUUAGAGAAAAUUCAUAUUGUUGUAGAUCUAUUCUAGUGCAGUAUUCAGUUUACCCCUUACCUUCAUGGGAAGAUCCAACCCUGAUGAGGACGUAUGCAAGCAUACACCAAGAUCCGCUGAUCCUGCAAAUGUAAAUAAAUAUAUAACACUGAAUACUUUUGGAAGAGCAUAUAAUGUGCAAGGAACAAUGGGGACAAAGCACAAGCAAUUGAAAAUAAAAGACCUACCAAGAAGCAAUGGAUAGUCCUCAGCAGACAACCACAUAGUACGAAAUGCCACGCGUUUGAGGUGUAAUCUGCUAAUUUUUUCUUCAUAUUUUUGCUUUUCGGGCCCUUUACCUACACGAAUUAAAUCAGUAUGCAAGUGCGUAAGAUGACCCCUCUCUCUCUCUCUCUCUCUCAUAACAGAUAUGCAAGGCUAAAAGGAACCUGACAUCCUAGAACAAAGAAAUAGUUAUACUCACCAGUAAUGACAAAUAACAGCCUAGGGUAUAAGUAUUGCUUCCCACUAUGAAUAUCCUUCCAAAGAACCUCUUCUUUAGUAGAAUCUUCUUCAUUUAAAAUAGCAGCAACACGCCUGUCAUACAUGACAGCUGCUUCCAAGAGAAUUUCAAAAUCUUCGUCAGGAGUCCUGUAAAGAACCAUUCAAAAAGACAAAUAAAAAUUGAAAAAUCAAAUGUUUUAAACAUGGGGUUUGUCUUUCACGUUACAUCAAAGUAUUCCACUGAAUAUUAGCUCACCAGCUUGUACUGCUAACUAUGAGUGCUGGCCUGUGUGGCUUCAAAGUAACGUCAGUACCAACCAGAGAGGUAAAUAGAGUAUCGUUUAUGUCUGUAUUCACUUCCCCUGAUCCUGUUAGAUAAAUGUUAACAUAUUCAAAGAACAUUACUAAUCGAUGAAGGGCAGUCAAGAAGCAAAUUAUAAAUUUAAAGAAACUGAUUAUUAUUACCAGUGCUAGUGCAAUCAUGAACACCAAGUGGCUGCCUUAGAUUUUUAUCUAAUCUGCAGAACAACUGCAGAUAACUCACAUGUUAUACCAAAUUCUCCAAACCAAAAAAAAAGAGUCAAAACAAGCUCAGAAUUAGGCAUUCAAACACCUUAUGCUUUUCUUCAAGUGAAGCAGGUCGGAAAAACUCAGGAGGCUGAUCAUAUAAAACUGUGGCUCUAUCAAUUUGGAAGACAACAGAAGACAAGUAAAUAUAUAUCACUUGAUAAUGAAGUUUUGUGAAGUAGCAAUAAAUUGUGAAAUAUUGAGCUGACCGUCUUACUUAAUUCCCCAAUUUUGAGCCAAUUCAUGUUGCAUUGCCCUCGUUACACAUAGGGAACCAUCUGCCAUCUUCCCGAAAUACCUCUCAAACCUAAUCAGGAAAGAGAAACUCAAUCUACUGCACCACCAAAAAUAUGGCCUCAAAGAAAAGUCUAAAAAAAUUCAAUAGCUACCAACGGUAUAUUGCCACAAAUCUACUACUUCUUCCAAGAGACAAUGCCAGUAAAGUAUAUCCAAAAUUAUGCCAGUCAACAAUAAAGGCAGAUUUCCUAAGCCAGCUUGCCCAUUUUACAGCCAUUAAGGUUGGAACAGAGGGUGGAUUCUGCACAAGCAAAAUGAAUCAUAGGGUUUAGAGAAAGAACGUUCACAUUCAAUUCACUUACUCUAAAAUCUAAAUACAAAAUUCAGGAACCAACUGAAAUUUGUAGCCUAAAAUUUGCAAAUGGUUGGCACUUGGCAGCUAAUUAAUCAAAUUUGAAAACUUGUCAAAGAGAAACAAUUAAACAUUGUCUAGUUUAUAAAAAGCUUCUGCAACUUCCCAACUGGACCAGUACAAGCUCACCUGAACUAGAUAAACAUCGGGAGCAGGUAUCUUAAUGCAAAGAAACCAAAGAAGCAUUAUAAACUGAGUCACUGCCUUGAUCAAAAGCACGAAGGGUCUAAGUAUGUUGGGCAGGCCACGCGUAAAUGUCUGCCACUGCUGCUGCCAACCAGAAUCACAAUAACUUUAAUCUUGUGGACGACCAAAAAAUUCGAUAGUAAGAUACUGCGGUAAAAAGAAAAUUGCACUUCAACAAUAACUACCAUUUUGUGUAUGUGAAUGGACUGAUGUUCAAGUAGAGCGGAAUGGGGUUCGGAACCUGUCCAAACAUUCCAACUCAAAUCCAAAUCAGCACUAUGAGGUAACAUUUAGAUUCAAAUUUGCUCAACAAUGCACAUAAUUCUACAAUCAAAGCAAAAGAUGUACCUCCAUAUGCAACAAUAUCUACCUCCAGAGAAGCCUGAGACGCACAUUCAAUAGAAAAAAUCACAAAAAGGUCCAAAUUUCUCAUGAAAAAGAGCAAUUCCGACUUCAAAACACAUUUCAAAAGCACAAAAUGGAAAAUUAAGAAUUGGGUUGUUGCUAAAUCAGCUGUAGAAGUUCAGGCGGGGGCGCUUACCUGUCGGGCAAGCGAAAGAGCGUGAUACUGCAUACGGGGGCUCCGCCCAAUAUCGCCCAGCACCACCACGCACGCCCGCCCUCUCUUCCCUCCUGCAAUCAGAAAUCCCAAACUCCUCAGAAAUCUGCAAAGAAACGAGCUUUCGAGAAAAAAGAAAGAACGAAAAAGCUUGCCUUUGCCGGCCAUGGUUCUCUGUUCCGCUUGGAUUCUGAUCUCCGACGGAGAGAGUGGUGCCAACUGCCAAAGGUGCAGACUUGCAGUUGAAGUCAUGAGGAAGACGAAGGGAGAGAGAGCGAGAGUCGUGGGAUGUCAAGGCGGGCCGGUUAACUGGGCUUGGGCGACCCAAUUAGACCCAAUUUCGCACGAGAAAUAAUAAAAUGGGCCUACCCUUACCGGGUUUUCUUUCUUUUGGAUUUGAACCAUAAGAAUUCACACUCAUCCGAGAUGCUUACUGACUCGGCGUCACCACCCAUCCUCUCAAGCCGCGAGCUUUCGCCAUUGUUAGGGUUCCGAAUUUGCUUGCUUUGAUCAGGACAGUGGAGGUUCCAAGGUGUUUUCUUCACAUUCAUUACAUAUUUUCAUCUGGGUUUCAAUAGUCUUGGUGUUUUGUGAUUGGAUUGUGUGCUUUUUUGUUGAAUUGAAAAGCUAUAUGCUGUUAAUUGUGGUGCAAAAUUGUUCAGUUGGGAAUUGGAGUUUUCUCUGCUGCUAUAUAAUGUUUAGAAGUUUAUUGGAUUAUGUUGGUGAAGAAAUGGAUGCGUUAUUUGUGUAAAAACUUAGCUUAGCUUAAUUUCAUGACUUUGGGUCGGAAGGAAGUUGAGGUACCAUUGAUUGGCAGUUUGGGAAGUAUCCAAGUUUUGUAAGCACCUGCAAGGUUUGGUAAACUUCCGACGGCGGGCAUUUGUUCACAUCCUCACAUGGUCCGUCUAGAAUCUAGAUGAAUACUCUAUUCUCUUUGACUUGUUCAAUUUGAUGCUAUAGAAAUUCAUUGGUUCCAUUGACUUUUUCUGGGUCAAUCUGAUUUGUGCAUUUUUUGUGUACUCUUCAUUUCUUGUGUGUUUUGUGAUGAAAUCAGGUGAACACAAAUAUCACUGACUCCCAGCGCUGAACGGUAUGGUAACUUGAGGAGAGCCCGUUCCCAGUGAUUGCAUCGGGUUCUCUGGUUUUUGAAAAUUUUCGAAGUACAUUUCCAGACUUUACACUGAUCUGUGGUGCCUUCUCCUCUGUGAUAAAAUCGGAAAGCAGACUGAAUUGUUUAUCCAAAAAAAGUUGAGGAAAAUUAACAGAACCAACCAUGCAAACCGCUUCAUAUCUUCAUCCGUUCUCUUAUUUUGCUGACAGGUAUCUAAUUUUAUGAAUGUUCUCAUCUCAUUGUUUUUGUUUCUGUGUUCAUUUUUUUUUUUAAGUUUCAAUUAAAGUCUUGAAACAUAUUUCAGAAGAAGCCUUUUGAAACCAGAUGGGUGGAGUAAAUCACAAACCUCAUAUUCAAGUGAUCUUGUCAGGAGAGUUCUGAUUACUAGAAGACCUCAGACAUGUAAGUUUCUCUUGCCUAAGCAACAAACCAGAUUGUUUGCAAUUCCCAACAUAGAUGAUGGCCACCCUUCUGCCUCUGUGUUAGAAGAUUCAAAUACAAAUCAUGCACCCAAUUCAGAAGCGAAGACGGUGUUGCACAAAUGGUCACCUCCCACGUAUAUGUGGAGGGGGUUUUCAGCUCUUAUCCUGGCAGGACAGGUUAUUUUGAGAACUUUGAAGGGCAAAGUGCACUGGGGAAAUACACUUCAGCAAUUAAAGAGAGUUGGGCCAGGUUCAGUCGGGGUCUGUCUCUUGACUUCAACAUUUGUUGGCAUGGCCUUUACGAUCCAAUUCGUUAGGGAAUUUACUAGAUUAGGGUUAAGCAGAGCCGUUGGUGGGGUUUUAGCACUGGCUUUCUCAAGGGAGUUGAGUCCUGUAAUUACAUCAAUCGUGGUUGCUGGGCGUAUUGGAAGCUCAUUUGCUGCAGAGUUGGGAACAAUGCAGGUUUCUGAGCAAACCGACACUCUGAGAGUUCUUGGGGCUGACCCGGUUGAUUAUCUUGUGACUCCAAGGGUGAUUGCUACAUGUAUUGCUCUUCCGUUUCUGACUCUAAUGUGUUUCUCAGUAGGGAUGGCAUCCAGCGCCCUCCUUUCCGAUGGCAUUUAUGGUGUUAGCAUCAACAUUAUAUUGGAUUCAGCUUGCAGAGCUCUCAAACCAUGGGAUAUAAUUAGUGCAAUGAUCAAGUCACAGGUUUUUGGUGCGAUCAUAUCGAUUGUGAGUUGUGCUUGGGGAGUGACCACUAUGGGAGGAGCCAAGGGUGUUGGAGAGUCAACAACUUCGGCUGUGGUUAUAUCUCUUGUUGGGAUCUUUAUCGCAGAUUUUGUACUCUCGUGUUGUUUCUUCCAGGGAGUUGGAGAUUCAUUGAAGAGGCUCUAAGUGGUUGUUGAUAAGCUAAAGGAGAGGCUGAAGCAGGAAAUAAAUCAAAGUAUGUAUUCUUGGCUGCGUGACAUUUUCGCACAAUGGCAGGUCAGCUUGUAGUACUCCUUGAUGGUUGUUGAGGCAUUAUACAGAGGAAUAUAUAUUGUUUUUCUCCCCCCAUCAUUCGUUAAUGCCGAAUGCAGUGAGGAGAGCAGUUUUUGGAGUAAUUUUGCAUUAAGAAUCACAAAAGACGACCUGAAGUAUCUCAUUGCAAAGUAAGCGGGCUCGGCGUUGAGAGUCUUGAUGUAGGGUUUUGUACAUCUCCUUUCACUGUUAAUCGUUGUGAAUUUUCUCUUAAAAUAGCAAAACAACGUUGUUAAACGAGGCUAUUGGAGAUGCUCUUAGCUUUCCGCCAUUGAAAUUUCCAAUUUCGACACAAGUUAUAUCAUGAAAAUUUCGUUUUGUGACAUUUACUGCCUAGCUAAACUAACUUUUGCACAAAAACACCACAUUUCAGGGAGACUUAACGAUUUCCCGUGACUUGCAUGUGACAACUAUUAUUUUGUGUUACUUUACCACCUUAAUGUUUUUUUCGUGCCAGAUUGCUACCUGAAUUUGUUUUUGCAUCAAAACUACAUGAUAAAUCGUAUCUAAGAUUGUUUUGGUCAAAACUAAAAGAAUCAACAAUGAGGGUUUCGAAAAUUAUUCCCCAAAACUUGAAUGCCGUUUAGAGGUAAAACGACACAAAAACGGGUUCAGGUGGUAAAGUCACACAAUAUAGUGGUCGCGUGACUAUUUUUAACGAAAAUUUCUACAAUCUGGACAUUAUGUGGUAUAUCAGAAUCAUUUAACUGCAGCAAAGGAGAUUGUCGUAAUAGUUAUAUGACGAUCGAUAUUUCUGUUUAAUGGAAAAAAUAUACAGUGAAGGGCAGCAGCAGUAGCCAUGGAAAUAUUAUCUCACCGUCCAGCAUCAUUACAGAAAACGCAGAAAUAAUAAGGAAUCCAAGAACAAAGGCAGGCUGUGGAACCGAUCACAUCAACUCUCAGCUUGUAAAGGUUUAUCCACCGCCAUUCAUUUGAAUGUUUCUAUAACCUUGGCUGAUGGCGAGGGCGAGGAGCGUCCCAGUCAGUCACAAUGUGAUCGCGGGUGAUCUCUUUGAGCGAACGGCAUCCACUUAAUGCCAUGGUUAGCUCAAACUCUUCGCGCAGCAUUUGGAGUACCUUUCUAAUGCCAGCCUCUCCUUCAGCAGCGAGAGAGAACACCACAGGGCGCCCAAUCUGCGAGAGAAGCAAGUCUCAGUAUGUUUUGAUAGACAGUAUAAUCUUUUCGCGGAGGGGGUGGGUGAGUAAUAUAUGGAUGGAAUAAGUGCUUCUACAUGGAAAAAUCAUGAUCAAAACUUGACUUACAAAUAUGCCAGAGGCACCCAAAGCUAAUGCUUUGAAGACAUCUGUUCCUCGACGGACACCACCAUCCAAGAAAACAGGAAUGCGUCCUUGUGCACCUUUAACAACCUAGUUGUCAAGACAGCGCCGCCAUGUCAAAACAUUACGAAAACUAGGAUGGUAUAGGUGCAUGUUUACUUAACAUUUAGGAGAUGCACUACAAACAGCUAAAAUCAAGUUUCUGUACCUCUUCGAGGGCCAUGAUAGUCGAAGGGACGUAAUCAAGUUGGCGAGCUCCAUGGUUGGACACAAUAAUCCCAGCUGCUCCAGCUUGUACUGCAAUCCUUGCUGCAUGAUAUGAGCGUAGAAGAGUUAUACAAGCAUUACAAACCUAUCAUAACGACGGAGAGAAAAGGAGCUCAAAUACAUACCAUCUUCGGCAGUGAGAACACCCUUAACUAGGAUAGGCAGUGAAGUGAUUGUCUGAAGCCACUGCACAUCCUGUUGAAAUAUCGGGGCAGAUCAUUAGAUGCAUAUCAACUUUUUAUUCAAAAAUAAGGCAUACAUGCUGAGAAAACAUCGCUUCCUCACAAACAUCCAGCUGGAUAUGCCCAGCCAAAACACCUUCAUUAUUUUAAAUUUGCAUACUUUUCAUCAAAAGAUGGAAGAACCUACAUUUGUACUUUUCAAUUCGUUCUAUUGAAUGAUCUAGAAAUAUUACACUUUUGUUGAUAUUCCAUCCUUUUAUUUUGUUGGACUCUUUUUAAACUUAAAUGAUGAAGGCUAAAUAACUUGUGACACCAAGUUGUAAAUUUUCCACAUUAUGAGCCUUGCUUAGAAGUUCAUGUAUCUCGACAUUCGGUGUUAUCUGACAUACCUUCCAGCUAAGAGAACGAUCGAUUUGACCAGCAACGUAUGAAGCAAGUCCAGAGUCAGCAGCCUGAAGGAGCCCCACACCGCAAAUUAAACAUAAAAGACAUUAUUCUGAAAAUUAGGACAGCACAGUUUAUACUCACUUUGUCCAUCUUUCCGAGGUCCAAACCCUCAAAGUUCUUCAGUGUCAAAAACGGAGGCAAGGUAAAUCUGCAAGGUACCAAAUAAGAGGUAUUAACAAGAUUAAACUCUUCCACAUGUUAAGCUUGCAUCAAAUGCCGAACUGAAUUAGUCUUAUUGAACCGAUGAAAGUAAAAACACUCACACGCACACGCACAUGCACAUAUACAAAUCUUCACCAAAUUUAUUUAUUUAUCUUACUAGGUUGAUAUGAAUGUUUUGACCAGCUGAUAUUGCUAUAACAGUUAUGGACAUGAAGUUGACCUGUUCUUGAUGUCAGCUUCUCUGCGACCGAGCCUUGGGGUAUCAACUGUAAGAGCAAUAGCCUUGAACCCAGCCCUUUCAGCUCUUCUCACCAGCUGAGCAACCACAUUCCUGUCCUUGUAGACCUUAUAAUAAUGACCAGCAAAACAUGGAUCGCAUAAGGCAAGGAAACAUUUACUCAAAAGUCAUAACUCAAGACCAGGGACAAUUGGGUGUCGUAACUAACGAAUAGAAAUGAAAUUAGUAUUUAAGCUUACAUAGAGCUGGAAGAAACGGAUUCCAGGUCCAGUUGAAGCAACCUCUUCAACACUUGAAGUAGCCCAUGAAGAUAAGGUCUGAAACAAUCAACACGGGGUAGAAGUAAAGAACAUAGACAGAACUUGUAAUAUAAGAGCAAACCAACAUGUAAAAAUCCGAUAAAUAAAAUAAGUGUAGGUCAGCUAUUGAAGACAAUUGAUCAAGGUCAACAACGGUACCAUAAUUGUUCCUGCAGCUGAUGCUGCCCUCGCAGUAGCAUAUUCACCUGCAAGAAUUCUCAUAUCAUCGUCAGAUGGAUACCAUGGCUUCCUUGAAGAGUAUUAGGCAUGACACUGGAUGCCAUUUUACAAUGGAUCGAAAAUCCGAUGUUUGUUCACCCUUUGUACAAUUUUCUCAUUGUUUUCUCAAAAAAAUUUACACAGAUUAAAAGUGUUCUCAAGCUCAGCACACUGUAUGGGGGCUAUCCAUGUUGUAAGUAUAUUAAUCAUGUAACCCCGUGGUGACUUAUAUGAUCAAGGUAAAUCUUAUGUUGUCAAUAACUUACAUGGGGUAAAGAUGAUAUUAAUACACAUGAUACAGUCCAAUUCUAAACGCAAUAUCCAAAUAUCAGCUCAAGAGCAAGGAGAGAUGGCUCACCAUUCACCAGUUGCGCUAUGUUCUUCCCAAAUGAAAAACUACUCAAUCUUAAUAACGUGAAUCAAUAGCAUACCUUCAGGAUGGGCCAUUUUCUGCAUGGCUGUUGGGGCAAUCAUGAUGGGCAUUGAGAUCUUGAAGCCCAAAACAGUGGUGGUCAUGUCUAUGCGGCUCACAUCAAUGAGAAUACGGGGUCGAAACCUAUGUUUGAUGACAAUACGUUGUUUCAUGAGAACUCCAAAGCUGAUACUUUAUACAGAAAAAAGGGCACUGCUAGAUAAAUACCAUCGAGUACUACUUUAUAGUUUUUACUGAGUAUCUCAAGAUAAAGAUUGAAUUCUUACAGAAUUCUCGCGAAAGCAUUUCUGUUUUCAGCAAGAGUCCACUGGUCCUCUGCUCCUGAUGCAUAGUAGUCAUAGACCAUCUUUGGCAACUUCUCCUUUGCGAUGGCCUCAUACUCGCUGACGUUGGUAAUCUCCAUUUUACAAGUUGACGGUCGACGCUUCCCUGAAAAAUAUGUAUUUAACAUCAACAUCAUGCUAAUGAGAUCAUAUUCUGGAUGCGGACACAGCUUGUUCUUCCCCUUUUCUCUUUUUCCAGAAGUUAGAAACAAGAAAGUACUCAAAUAUCAGAGGAAGUUAAGACACACAAAUUUGCAUUAAGAAACAGUUCUUGCACUCGCACUCGCACACACACAUAAGGCACUAAACUGAAUCAAAAUCAUUGAUCAUAUGUACUCAGGUUGUCAAUAAAAGAUAGGUUAUGUCCCCAUGUCAGCUAAACUACUUUCUUGCUUAAGGUAGAUACUAGAUUAAGAAGAAUAAUAUUGGGAUUACGAAGAAUAAAAUUGAUAUAUAUAAAAAGGACUGAAUCCACUGCAACCUACUGCAUCUCGAGUUUAAACCCUCCCCUCACCUUAGUGUAACUUAGAGUAGUAGUAACGCUCGUAAUAAGAACAAAAAAAAAAAAAAAAGACUAAACCCAAUUCACUGUUAAGGAAAAUACAACCAGGGCAUGCUCAAUUCCCCACUUUAAUUGGUUCCAAAAGCAUAAAAAGCCAUUACGAAGUGAGAUUGCAAAACUCACUUAAAAAAUUGCACCAAGUUACAAUCUUUCUGUUUUGUGGGCAACAAGUUAUAAUCUUUCCAAGCAAGUUUGAGAAUACUAGUAAAAGAAAGAACACAGAAUUUAAGAGGAGAGAGAAGAAAACCUGAAGUUUGAGUCCAAGACUAUGCAACAAAGUGCAUCAAGAGGAAGCAGUGCAAAAUAGAUAUAGAACAGAUAAACAAAGAGAUUAUAAGUAUGAGGUUGCAUGCAGACAAACUGGGUGGGGCUCAUAUAUUCUUGAGAGAGAGAGAGAGAGAGAGAGAGAGGGAAUGGAUGAGCAUUUGGAGGUGGGAAUUGGAAACCAAAUCGGAUGAGGGGAAGAGAGAGAGAGGGUGUCAUCCACAGAAGCCUUGUGUGUUUCACAGUUUUCCUCUUGCAUUAUGAUUUUCUGAACCCCAAAAAAUGAAAUUUGGAUAAUAAAGAUUUGUCCUUUUAAUUGAAAAAUAGACAAUUUAAGGACAAGUGACAAAUUUCCCUCCUUUUUAUCCUUCUUCUGUGUUGUCAUGCUUGAUGUUUGACUUCUACUUCCAGCCAAAGAUGACUGGUUACUGGUGUGGUGAGUCUGGGAAGACUGGAAUGCAACUGCAGUCGGGUCGUCUUUUAAUUGGGUAUGGGUCGAGAACCAGAGGUCCAGCACAAAGUAUGAUUGAAUUUGACAAGUAAUAUGGGCCUAUCAACCCACCUCAUCCCCUCUCAAGGCUUCGUCAAAUUUUACGUUAAGUUCAUUUUCACUUGUAAGUGAAAAAGUAUUAUGUUAGAUUUUUAUUAAAGGAAAUUUGAACUAAAUUAUUAUGGCUAGCUCAGUGUAAGGCUUAGUCCACCCUCAUCUAUUAGUGUAGAUAAUAUCGUACGUAUUAAAAAAAAAAGUGAUAUAAUUCAGGAAGUGAUUUCACAGUUUAAAUGUCAAAGCAUAAUAGACUUUCCCCCAUCUCAUAGUUUAAAGUCAAUUUUUGUGCCAACUUUAUAAAAUAUUGUUUCACUUUUAAGAGAUUCCUCUUAGCAUUUCUCAUCAAACAAAAGUGUGAUAUACUUUUAUUAGUGACUUCAUAAUUUGACUCAAUCAACAACGCGAUAUAACUCUAUGAAUAAGAUAACGAUAACAACAACAAACGAUUAUAAAUUUCAGCAAAAAAAAAAAACGAUUGUAAUAAAUUAUUUUAAUUCUUAUAAGACUUAGUACUGGUUUGAUGUUGAAGUGCUUUUAUAAAAAAGUGGGUAUUAAAAAAGAUCAGCUCAAAAAUAUGUUUGGUAAACACUUCAAAACAGUUUAUUUUCACAAUUUUUUGUGAAAAAAACUAAAAACGUGAAGCAGCAAAAAUAAGUUUAUUCUCACGUCACAGCAAAAACAAACCUUUUUUUUUUAAACAGUGCAAUACCAAACCAGAGUAUAUAUUAAAACCAUUGAUUGACAAUGUGGUAGGAAACUCAUCGUUACCGUGAAAAGUUGUUAUUUGGCACUAUUUUGCAAAUUUGAAAGUCAAUACCGUUUCCAACAUUUGUGGAUUUAGCACUGCACCGUCAAAGGCUCAAAGCUGCUUUCUUUGCGCUCCAAAACACGCAGAAAACUGCAUUCCCUCGUAUGUUUUGUUAUUUUUCACUUGGGUUUUAUGGAUUAUUACUUCAAUCAUAGCGUCAGUGAUGCGUGUUCACCAGGUGUUUGUAGAAAUGCCCAACAGAAGUAUAAAGAGAUAGAGAAAGAGUGUGUCUGCUGUUUGGUUUUACGCUAUUACUGUUGUUAUGUAUUAUCUACUUCUUCUUCUUACCAUAACAAGCAUUGAUCUGCAGUUUGCCACUCUGUUAUUGGAAUCUGCUCCACACUUUGCCUCUAUGGGGAGCAGCAACAGCUUGGGGAUUCAUUCUUGGUCUAUCUUAGCGCCUCAGCGGGUAAUUCUUCCGCAAAAAUCCGUACCAAAGUCCCAUUCUUUGUCCCCAACUGUCACCGUUUCUAGCAUUGCCACCAACAAGACCUGCUCUGAGAGGUACCCAAUACCAAGAGGUUGCUUGGGAUUUGCUGCAUUCACCAGAAAGGUAAAUAAGACCAUAAGAGGAUGUGCUACCAGCCCAUUUGUUGUUGCCAAUGAUGAAAAGUAUGGAAACAAGCAGAUUAUCAGUAUUACUCCACGCCUUUACGACUACAUCCUUGCCAAUGUUCGAGAGCCAGAGGUAUAAAUGAACCCAAUUUCGAUUUCAUUUCACUUUAUUCGGCACCUUAGUUUUCUUUUUUUUUCUUUUUUCUUUUUUUUUUGAGUUCUUUUACAUCUGCAUUUUCUGUACGGGUUAUCUUGAUCACAAUUGCAUUUCAGGUUCUACAACAACUUAGGGAGGAGACUGCCUCUAUGCGUGGUAGUCAGAUGCAGGUACUUGCUACUGUUACUCAUUCCUUUUUAUGUAACAUGGACAUUGAUAAGAUAUAGGUGAAGGGAAAUGCUGGUUUUUAAGGUAGCUAGCCAGGACCCUCUUGAAAACAAUUGAAACUUUUAAUUGACAACCAAAGUUAACUGCCUUCGACUGUCUGAUGUCUUCGUACUUCUUCUUUAUAUUGCAACACAAUUUGACAGUGUGGUGCUCUCUGGAUAGGUGUCUCCUGAUCAGGCUCAACUGCUUGCAAUGCUUGUGCAGAUUCAUGGGGCUGAAAAGUGUAUUGAAGUUGGCGUUUAUACCGUAUGUAUCCCUUCUCAUUCUAACUUAAUUGUAUUGCAACUUAACAGGCUUCCUGCUACUUUGUUCUAAAUUUCUAAUCGCACAUUCCCUUUUGGGUAUAUUAUAGUAAUUAUACCAAUGUCUCUUGAGGCAUGUGUCUCACUUUGGUCUUCGACAUUCAAUUUGACUCCCAUUGCCCCUUGAACUUCAUUCGACUUACUAAAGUGGCCCUUUCUAUUGGAUCUUUUAUACUUUCGAUAAAUAUUGGUCAUACACCAAUCACAUUACCAUUUUUUGAAAGAUAUAAUCAUCAGUUGAACUUGAAACCCAAUAUAUUAACUGAAAGACACAAAGUCAAAAAAGUCAAAAAAGCAGAUGCGUAUGGUGAAAUGUAAUUAACAUUGACAUUCCUUGACUACUCCCUCUGUUUCCCUCAUUUUCUUCUCUUUUCCUGUUUCUUAGUCUUUGUUACUGGGAGAGCAAGAAGAGACAAGAAUAGCUCUCACGUUCAUGUGAUGAACUAGCCACAUCUGAUAUAAUGGUUACUGUUUAAUUCAGGGAUAUUCAUCAUUGGCUAUUGCACUGGCUCUUCCAGAAUCCGGUAGGUUAGUAGCCUGCGAAAGAGAUUACAGAAGUCUCGAGGUGGCAAAAAAGUAUUAUGAUCAAGCCAAUAUUUCCCACAAGGUAGUAUGUCUUCCACUCAUCAGUACUGUCAAUGAACUGUAUAGGAAUAUAACCCCACAACUAUGUCGAACUGUUUUUCCUUAUACUUCAUUUGACACAACACUGAAAAGGCUAAUUUGGUAUUAGGUGCAUGUUAAAUAUGGACUUGCAGCAGAUUCCUUGAGAUCAUUGAUUCUGAACGGUGAAGCAUGUAGGUAAUGUAAUGAGCAAUGUUGAGAAGCACGAUGCAUAUAAUUGUUUCAUCUGAGCGUUUUGAAGAAAGUUUGUGGUUCAGAUUUUGUGAAAUUUUUGGAGAAGAAUUAAAUAAUAAUUCUCUUCUUGUCAUCAUGCCGUUGCAUUUCAUAUUGUUCUUCUUGAAUUACUGGCUCGACGUGUUUCCUCUUUGAAUCCCCAAAUGUAACCUUUGUUUUGUUUUUUGUUAUCUCUUCAAUGUUUUUUGUUUACUCUCUUUCUUUGAAAAAAUGAGCUUAAUGCAUCAAUCAUUUUAGCUCACUUUUAGUCAUAAGGCACCAUAAUUACUGUAGUAACAAUUUUCACAUGUUUACUCUGCCAUGCAGCUAUGAUUUCGCAUUUGUUGACGCUGACAAGAAGAUGUACCAGGAAUACUUUGAACUGUUACUACAACUUGUAAGACCGAAAUAAUUUCUUUUAAGAUUCAAACUUGUCGAAUUUCUCUCCUUUUCUCCUUUAUCAUUUGGUUUCUUUGAGCAAUGAGCAGUUUGCAUGUUGGCUUGGUCUCUUGUUUCAGGUGAGAGUUGGGGGUCUAAUUGUGUUCGAUAAUGUCCUCUGGCACGGAAAAGUUGCUGACCCUGAGGUGAAUCAAUAAACAGGUUUUAUUAACUCCUUCCCCUAAAAUGAACUAUGCUGAAUGUUUUCUUUUCCCUGCAGGUAAACGAUGCCAAGACUGUCAGCAUCAGAAAUUUCAAUACAAGUAUAAUGGAGGACAAGCGUGUAAGCAUUAGUAUGGUAAGUUCUAUCACUUGCAUCUUCAUUCGUAAGAAAGUUCAGAGAUCUUUUGUUUGUUGUUCGAUAACCCUAAAUCCUUCGGAGUGUCAGGUACCCAUUGGAGAUGGCAUGACAAUCUGCCGAAAAAGGUGACCUUGUAACAGAAAGUUGAUGCAGUUCUAGACUUAAGCGACCAAUGCCAUACAUAAAUUAGUGUGUGCAGAAGUUUAGCAACAAGGAAAACGCAUGUUCAGUGUUUUCAAGAAAAGUAAAUCGAGGGAAGACGGCUACCAUGGCAUGUGGUAUGGUGGUUGAAACUGAGGAUGGAAGUUCUUACUUCAACAGGUUAGGCCUUUAGCUCAAGGCCAAACAUUCCGAAAGCAGGAAAUUUCGGUGUUUGGGAGCGGCAGAAGAGAAGGGAUUUCUAGCCAUUGGAUGCAUUACAACAUGCCAUUGUAUCUUGUUUGGUAAGGUGUUCAUGAAUCGUAUUGGAUAAUGUAUGCACAUAACGAGAAGAUAAAGUCAUGUAUUGUAUACCAGUUUAAGAAAAGCCGGGAUUGUUUCUAGAUUUGGAUUGGAUAGGAUAUCUGAUAAAAUUCAAGAUAUGUUGAUGGGGGGAUUGUUUCUAGAAUUGGAUUGGAUAGGAUAUCUGAUAAAAUUCAAGGUAUUUUGAAGGCGGAAUUGUUUCUAGAAUUGGAUUGCAUUGGGUAUCUAAUAAAAUUUAAGGUAUGUUGAAGGCAAAAAUAUUUGAUAAAAUUCAAGGUAUGUUGUAGGGGGGAUUGUUUCUAGAAUUGGAUUGGAUAGGAUAUCUGAUAAAAUUCAAGGUAUGUUGAAGCCAAAAUUGUUUCUAGAAUUGGAUUGCAUUGGAUAUCUAAUAAAAUUUAAGGUAUGUUGAAGGCGGAAAUAUCUGAUAAAAUUCUAGAAUUGGAUUGCAUUGGAUAUCUAAUAAAAUUUAAGGUAUGUUGAAGGCGGAAAUAUCUGAUAAAAUUCAAGGUAUGUUGAAGGGGGGAUUGUUUCUAAAAUUGGAUUGGAUAGGAUAUCUGAUAAAAUUCAAGGUAUGUUGAAGGCAGAAUUGUUUCUAGAAUUGGAUUGCAUUGGAUAUCUAAUAAAAUUUAAGGUAUGUUGAAGGCAAAAAUAUCUGAUAAAAUUCAAGGUAUGUUGAAGGGGGGAUUGUUUCUAGAAUUGGAUUGGAUAGGAUAUCUGAUAAAAUUCAAGGUAUGUUGAAGGCGGAAUUGUUUCUAGAAUUGGAUUGCAUUGGAUAUCUAAUAAAAUUUAAGAUAUGUUGAAGGCGGAAAUAUCUGAUAAAAUUCAAGGUAUGUUGAAGGGGGUAUUGUUUCUAGAAUUGGAUUGGAUAAUAUAUCUGAUAAAAUUCAAGGUAUGUUGAAGGCGGAAUUGUUUCUAGAAUUGGAUUGCAUUGGAUAUCUAAUAAAAUUUAAGGUAUGUUGAAGGCAAAAAUAUCUGAUAAAAUUCAAGGUAUGUUGAAGGGGGGAUUGUUUCUAGAAUUGGAUUGGAUAGGAUAUCUGAUAAAAUUCAAGGUAUGUUGAAGGCGGAAUUGUUUCUAGAAUUGGAUUGCAUUGGAUAUCUAAUAAAAUUUAAGGUAUGUUGAAGGCGGAAUUGUGUCUCAAAUUAAAUUGAAUUGGGAUAUUUGAUAAAAUUCAAGGUGUGUUCAAGGGAUUUGAGUUUGAUUCCUUUAUAAUCCUACCGUAUUUUGUGGGGUUUGAGAAAUAAGUUUUAUUAGCUAGUAGUUCACUUUUGAGCUUGCCAAAAUUUCUUCAUGUCUUCCUUCCACAUACAUACAUUAAAUAUAGCAAGUUAUCCAAUUUAAUCUUCAAUACCAAAUAAGCCUUUAAUUUGUGUUCUAUGUAUUAGAUUACAAUUGUAAUGUAAAAGUCACUACCACAAACAAAUACAGAGAUGUGUGCCGAUUAGGCACGUUGCUUUAAUAACCAAGAAAUUUAAUUUGCAUACACAAACGACAAGUGUAAAUGACACACCCCGACCUGGAAAGGUUGAAGCAUGCUAGCCAUCACCGUGAGGUGACGUAACCAUAAGGGUAAGCGAUGCAAAAAGUGAAUAAAAUUAAAACUAAUUAGAACUAAACAGUGAAAGAGUGCGCAAUUCGUGGGUUGGACCCACUACAAUUAUUCAAAGUGUAAUAGACAGUGAGACUACAGAAGAGUAGUCAAAACAACCAAAGUACACUUAUUACAUAAUAGUGAUAAGUUCGUACGUCUAAAACAUAAUGAAAUGUCAGAACUGCUGGGAUUCCUCGAGUGCCACAAAGAGUACAGCUAUCUAAGUCCUGGAGGGGCGAAAAAACAAAGUUGAGUGGGUCAGCAAAACAAUGCUUAUAAGAAAACCUUUAUCUUUGAAAAUACUAAUCCCUUGCCGUAAAACAUGUAUAGUUUCCUUAAACAUACUACUCAAGUAUAUAAACGAUAAUUCGAUAAUGUUAUAGCAGUAAUAUAACCAGGAAUAUGCCAAGUAAUGAUGUAUCAAAUGUUACAGCAAUAAUCAUGUGAUAAUCAAGUAUAACUAAGUGAUCAUCCAUCUAAGCUGACACACAAGUUUGAACAGAUAGUUUCUGACACAAACAGAACUGGGUGUAAUCAAUAUGCUCUAGUACUACGAUCACGUGAAGACUGGUGCAGAAGCGCAUCACAUACAAGUCGGAUUGCCUAGUGCAAUCUACCCGACAAGACUGGCACCUAACUUGGAUCCAAGGUGAGUGAAUGGUGCGGAUGUGAACAUACAUAUGAAGGACUAGCCCUGACCCUAGGGCGAGUACUAACACCAGGUGCAGCAGGUUGAGCAUGUACAAUUAUGUAUGAAUGCCAUGACAGUAAUAUUACAACCAUAUAGCAGCAUUUAUCACAAUAUAUAUCACAAUAACAAUACUAAGCAAUAUAAGCGUAAAAGUGAAACAAAUACGCAUUUAUGGAAACUAUAAAUAUAAAUAUAUAUAUAUAUAGUAAGUCGCUGGGUCGUAGCCCCUGAGCCUAGCUUAGCCUCGAAAAUCCUCGAGAUAAGUUUCCCCUAGUAGGAGUCCAAUUGUGGUUGAGGUUGACCAAAAAAAUGGCUUGAAAGUGACCAAAUGGUCACGGUUUUUGAAUGAAAAUGUGCAGGUUCUCAUUUUUCUCGAGUUUUCCAAGCCAUAAAUGGCUUGAAAAUCGAUAUGUUGAACUCGCCAAGUCGACCUUCCGAGUUGGUAAGUCAAAAGUUGUCCACACCAAAUUUCAAGGACAUGGUUGUGAUCGUGGGACUGAGCUGAUCAUAAUGGUGUAGUUGGUUUAGGGGUGGGCAAACGGGUACAGGAACCGCAGGUAGGGGCGGGUAAUCAAGGUUCGGGGCGGGUACGGGCCGGUUCCAAUUUUUUCAUAAGUGAAACGGGGCGGGGCGGGCCGGGGUUUUGAAAUUUUAGGGGCGGGCCGGGUUUAGGGGUAUAGAAAAACAGGGCCCCGGAUGGCCCGUUUCUAACUAUGGUCUCUAAACCCUAAUCCAUUAUCCAUGAUUCACUCCCUCAUCUGUCCCCCUUCUUCCUCGUCAUCCUUCGUCCCCUUUCUUUUUCGUCCAUCCGCCGCCUUCGAGUCCACUGAUUCCCACUCGAGUCCACGACUUGAGACUUCCUUCCUCCCACCCACACUAUUCUCCACCUAGACAACGACGACACGAAGACGAUCUCAUCGCCACAAAGACUCUCCUCUCCUUAGUCCUCCCUUUCGAAUCUGUCGAUUCUCGAUCUUCUCCCUCUCAAUUCUCGAUCUCACUUUUCUGAGUUCCAAAUCAACCAAUAAUUUUGUACUCUGGGUGGGCAUGGGCGAAUCUCAUUGUGUGAAGCCCGUUAGGUCUUCUUCUUACAUUGAAGGAAGUUUGGUUGCUAGAAGGCCGUCCUCUUCUGUCUCUGUGCCUAUCCCUGAAAUUGGCGGUAAUUAUACUCCAACCUUUGAACUGAUAUCAGUAACUUCUAGUUAUUUAUGUUUCCAUUUGUAAAUUGUAUUAGAUUGCAUGUAAAUUUAUGUUCUGAGAAUUCUAUGGCAGGAAUGGUUCUGGUUUUUUUAAACUUUAUGGUGUUUUAAUAUUAAUUUUGAUUUCAAUUUCUCUUAAGAAAUAUAAAAAUCGAAACAACUACAGAAUUUCAUUAUAUUGCUUGGAUUCGAUGCUCUGCGUACUUGUUUUAACUACAGAAUUUCAUUGCUUAGUUCUAUGACAAAAUCAUCCUUAUGAAUAGACAUCUUUAAUAAAAUCUUUAAUAAAACCAUAUGUUAUUCCCAACUUCGGAUGUAGUAUGAAAGGAAUCAUUGGUUAGUAGCAGGAAUUAUGUCUGACUUGUUCAUUAAUUGUAUUAUUUGAUUUACAGGUAAUGGAAGCAGUUUUGUAGACAAUGGGUUAAGUGAGGAAAAUUUUACUUGUCGGGCAGUGAUGGAGGCAGUUGGCUCAUGUCUCACGAACAAGUGUUCAGAAGGAUUACCAGGUAAAGGGUACAUAUACUACGACUCAGAGUAAGCAUGGAGGUGUUGCUUGUGAGGAUGUUGGCCAUGGUGAGAAACGUGGCGGUGCCGGCGCGGGGCUCGGUGGAGAAGCUGUGGUGCGACGACGAAGGCAGCAUUGCGGUGGUUCUGGAGUCCUUUCCGUAGCGGUUUCGCAAAAAAAAAAAAAAAAAAAAAAAAAAACCAAGGACCGGCCCGUUUGAAACGGGCCGGGUUCGGUCCGAUUCCUGUAAUGAAAUAUGAUGUACCCGACUCGGCCCGGCCCGUUUCUUUAACCUCCGGUUCCUUGAAAAUUAGGUCCGGCCCGACUCGGCCCGGCCCGUGCCCAGCCCUAAGUUGGUUGCCACGUUUGUGUGUUUUUGUGAUGGUUGUAGAGAGGAAGAAAGAGAGAGUUCGGUGAGGGAGAUAGAAAUAGUUCCUCUUUCAUUUCUUUUUCCUUUUUCUAAUUUGUGACUGAAAGGAGGGAGAGAUGGGAUAGGUGAGGGAGUGAAAUAAUGGAGGGGUGCACGGGUAGGAUAAAAAGGGGAUCCAAUGGAUAGGUUUUUAGAUUUCCUACAGUAAAAGGAAAUCGAAAUCUAUCCGAAGUAGAUAUUUUUACACUUUAAAAUCUACGCCUACUCGUACUAGCGUGUACAAUUUAAAUGCGAUAGCGAGAACUAAAAUGGAAAGCAAUAGGAUAAGUCCACGCCAUUUGCCAAUAAGGGCAUAAUCGUCAAAUUACAUAUUCGGGGAUAAAUUACAAAUGAAAAUUAGGAACUGGUCGUCACAGUAAACUCCUGAACAACUACUACAUGCACGAAACUACAAAAACAUAUGAUAAGUCGUUGACUUAGGAUUGUUAUUGGGACACAUGUUAAAAAUCAGUUAAAAUAACGGAUUCUAGUGACACAUGAUAAGUCACUAAGAGCAACUCCACCCAAGGAGCCUUUCCCCCUGGCAAUUCACUAUUGAAUCCACCAUUUUGAACAGUAACUGCCUUUAAUGAAUAGUAACUGCCAUUAAUGAACAGUAAUUGUCAUUUGCAUCUCCACCCUUGGAGCCCUCCCCCCUGGCAAUAGGCAAUAAAAUAUUAGUUUUUUUUGUUUGUUUAAAUAAUACAAAAUAAAAUUAUUUGUAAUUUCGGAUAAGAUUUUUUAAAUCGUUCUCGUUGCACCACGUGUCAUUUUAUAAAAAAAAAAUUAUUUAGCGAUGGAUUUCGAUAAGAUUUUUAUCCAAUGUCAUCGUGCCACGUGUCGUUAUCUUUUGAGAAUCUUUGACGAUAGAUUUUGAGAAUCUUUGACGAUAGAUUUUGAUCAAAUAAUAAUAAUGAAAUUAUUAGGUAACAAAUAAAUAAUACAAACAAAUAAUAAUAAUGAAAUUAUUAGGUCACAAAUAAAUAAUACAAACAAAUAAUAAUAAUGAAAUUAGGUCACAAAUAAAUAUUGCAAACAAAUAAUAAUAAUGAAAUUAGGUAACAAAUAAAUGAAACAAACAAAUAAUUAUAAUCAAAUUAGGUAACAAAAUAAUAAUACAAACAAAUAAUUAUAAUAUAUUCUUACCUCAUCCGCAUAAUUUGCCCCACUUACUAGCUUGUGUCAAGGCAUCUCUCCACGUACUAAAGGAAUGGCUAAGUAUUUUCCAACGAUUGGAUAUCGAUUCUUUGGUUCUUUUCCCACUCAUUUGCUCAACAAAUUUGGUAUGAAUUAAACUCCACAUUUCUCGCAAUUGCAUCUCAUUACCCGUAACGGAAUUAUGAGUAACUUCAACCCAGCUAGUGCACAACGCAACAUCUUCAAGAAGCGACCAAUUCGAACCUGCAUCAGUAGCCAUUUUGUGGAAAAAAUUGGAUUGAAACUUUGAGAGAAAGAUAGGAAUUUGAUUGAAAGUAGUUGAGAAAAUAUGAAAUUGUGGUGUAAGGUAGAUGGAGAAGAAGUGGUAUUUAUAGAAAAGUAAAAACAAAUUUUUACAAUUUUUUUUUCAGAUUUUUUACAACUUUUUCGGAUUUUUUACAAUUUUUUUUUAAAUUUUUAUUCAAAUAAUUAAUCUCUGCCGUUGGAUUUAAAAAUUUUGAAUUCCAACAGUCCAGAUUGUGCCACGUGUCACAACGGUAACUUUUCUUAAUUUUAAAACUAUUUUUCCUUUUUUUAAAAAUUUAUAAAGGAGAUUAAUAUCAACCGUUGAUCUCAGAUCGAACGGUUGAUAUAAAAUCAGUUUUUUUUUUUUUACCGUUGUAAAUCGGACGGUUCUUAUUAAAGAACCGUUGGGAUCUAACGGACCGUGGGAAGCCACGUGGCUUCCCAACGGUAACUGGCGCGCGGGCCAUCCCCCUAAAAUCCUGUCGGACGACGCGCCCCCACUAGCGAGUGAGGGGCACGCGCCUGACACAAAAAAAAAAAAAAAAAAAGGCCGGACCCAGCCCUUGCGUCAGCCUAACGUCACAAGGCUCGGGGGCCAGGCUUGUCAAUUUUCCACGGGCCUCCCACUCGGGCUCCCACCCUCACUCGGGCCCUUCCCCGCUGGAGCUGUUCCCACCGGCCCUCAGGCCCUUUCUCCUCCCCUGUCGCCCGAGCAACCAGCCUCCGCUGGACUUGCUCUAACACAAACAAAUACAGAGAUGCUUGUCAAUCAGGUAUAUUGCUCUAGUGACCAAGAAAUUGAAUUUGCAUACACACAACGACAAGUGUAAACCCCUAAACAAUUAUUAUAUGCACAAAACUACAAAUGCAUGAUAUGUUGCUAACUUAAUAUCGUUAUCAGACCAUCGGUUCAGAAUUCAUUUAAAUAACAAAUAUAACACCACAUAGAUUAAUCAAGUAUAUGAGUAUGAGAUGAAAAUUGCGUCGACCCAACAAACACGAUCAGUUGACGAGUGUACUACGAAUUCGAUUCGACCCAGUAUAGUACAAAAUAACAAACGUACACAUCCAUUGCAGAAAGCAAAUAAGAAUAUCCUGUUUGAUACUUACCCCCAUUUUAUGGAGAGGCUGCUCCCAAGUCUCGAACCCGAGACCUACCGCUCAUGGGCGAAGGCACUUGCCAUCGCACUAAGUGCGACCUCUACAUGUACAGCAAAAACUAAUUGAGAAAAAUACGGAGGUGACACAUGUAUUAUUGGGUGAAAAAGACAAAAUUACUCUCGAGGCACACUCGAACUCCUACGCGCAAGCAACAUACAAUCAAGUUUAAAAGUGAUCAAAAUAGAUAUUUAUUCAAAACCUAUUUCAUUCAUCCUCAUCCUCCCCACAAGGUAACAUUCAAUUAUUCAUUCAAAAUAUAAUUAAUUACCUAAAUUAGUUGAUUAAUUUCCUAAUUAAUUAAUUAAUUUUUUAAUUAAUUGCAAGAUAUUAUUUUGACAUAAUACCUUGCAAUUACUCCAAAAAAACCACCAUAAGUGGCCGGGCAUUUUCUCCAAAUAAGGGUCGGCCACACCCCUAUAAAUAGCUUCCAUUUCUCCCAAAAACCUUUGAGUCCAUUCUCAGUUGCGGAAAUUUGCAUCCACACUCUGAAACAUUCAUUCGGAUUGCAAAUAUUUCCACCUCACUAAACUCUCUCAGUUGUAGUGAAUCACCUUUCAGAUCUCCAAUUCGCCAAAGCACUUUUGCAAAACGUAAUUACAAGACGGUUUUUAUGCUAUUCGCAAACGCUCUUUUUACCGCGAAGUAGGAGUACAUUAUUGCAUACCUCCGUCUGCAAUCUCUUGGGUCGUCAAUGGCGGAUCGGCUGCGUAGUUUAUUUAAGGGCGAGGUCCUCACUUACGCCUAUCUUCUUCUCUACAUCGCUCUCUCCAGCGGCCAGAUCUUCUUCAACAAGGUUGGUACGCACAUUGCUUUUCAUCUGUUAGCAUAGCAUUUGUCCAACAUUUGGUCUUUUCGUUUGUUUGGUAGGCGGGAAAUUUUUGGGGUGAAUUUUCUGGGAUGUGAAAAUUGGAGAAAACCCAAUUCGAGUUUGACCAGUUACAAGCGUAUGGUGUAGUUUGAGAUUGGUUUUUGGUGUUAUGGAAACCCAUUUAGUGUGAUUAGUAGUAGUAUUGUGAGUUUUGGAUGAAAGAUAAAUUGCAUGUUUUGUGUUUCUAUUGAUUUGGAAAUUAAAUUAGGUUUUACUUUUUGUUGAGAGUGUAUGGAUUUGGUACUGAUGGAUGAUUUUGUUGGCUGUGCCUUUCUAUUGAAAGAUAUGAAGGGAGACGAAAAGAAGCAGCUUUUCGAAGAAGCAUUCUAAUAAACUAGCUCGUACUUCCUAAUUGCUUUUCCAGAAGCAGUUGUUGUGGGCUUUUGUUCUCUAAUGUAUUGCUGUGCAUUAACAAAUGGAGAUAGAGAGACACAAAAAGUUGAGGAGGUGCUUUAAAAUUUGCAAUUGGCAAGAAUUUACACAAAAAGUUCACAUCUUGUUUUAUGACCGUGCUUAAUGUUUUGAAAGUAUGGAUAUGGCGAAGACAUGCAUCUUAGGACCUUAAACUUAGCAUGAAAUGUAUUGAGAUCUAGAGAGAGAUACAUACAUAGUUUACGAAUACCCUGUGUUCAGGUAUUUGAUAUGGUAUUAGUUUCUCAAGAAAAUCAAUGGUUUUUACUUGCUUUCCCUCAUCCUCUUUGAAUCUGAUUGAGGGCUGUAGAUGAUUGUUAAAUUAAAGCAAGGGAAGUCAAGUACAGCUUUGGAGGUCUUGUUCUGGUAAUGUCGAUAAGAUAGUUUUUUUUUUUAGGGAGGGGGCGGCUGGGUGGCUAUACCUAACUCUACAGGAAUUUGUUAGCAAGUACUUUGUAUUGGAACAAAAGAAUGAUAAAUUUUUUUGAUAAAGGUCUACAGUGAAGAAAUAUAGCAUCCUCUACAUGUUGCGUUAAUGCUCACCAUGUCAGCAUUUGUUUAAUUUGAUAACUCCUUGUUACUUAAUGUUGAUUUUUGGGUCUCUACUUUGAAAAUAUUACUCUCAUUCUUAAUCUUUAAAUUGUGGAAUGCAGUGGGUUUUGUCGUCCAAGGAAAUAAACUUCCCUUAUCCUCUUGGAUUGACUCUACUUCACAUGGUCUUCUCCUCUGUCUUGUGCUUUUUACUCACGAAAGUUUUUAAGGUAUGCAGGUAACUAAAUGUUGUGAUAAUCAUUAAAACUGAAUUUUCCAUUGGUUCUCUUAAACUUAUUUUUUUAUUCUAUGAUUUUACAGAUUUUGAAGGUUGAGGAAGGAAUGACUGUAGAAAUGUAAGUAAGGAGCCUCAAAGAUGAUAUCUGUCGAAUUUUACUCAUUUUUGUGGAAUUAAAGAUGAAUUUAUGAAUCUCUUUUGUGGCAACCAAAUAAUUAGGGAUUUAUGUUCGGAUCAUAGCUUGAUGGUGCCAAUGAGCUAUUUUCAUUGUUCAGAAGUAUAAAGAUAGUGCUAGUGACUCAAGCUCAAUGAUAUUUGUUUUGGCUCUUAAUUAAACUGACUCCAGCUAUCUUAUGAAGAUUAAAUAUACUAGGAAAGUAAAACACACUAAGCCGUUGGUGUUUUAAAACCAACAAGUUGAAUUGCAAUAUUGGCUAGCUAGUUGCUACGCAUAUGCAAUUCCCUCCACGCUUGAAGCAUGUGGAGUUGUUGAUCCUAUUGCUGACUUAAAUUACUUUGAACUUUUUUCCUAAAAAAUGAAAGAAAAGUACUUGAACAAUUUUCUUGCUGGUACUUAACACUAAGAUCAUUUAUCCUCCGACUAAAGUAACUGUGCAAUCGUUUAUGUCAGCUCAUGUUUGUCUACUUUUUUACUGAUUUCCCACUCAGAAUCUAAUGAAGUUUUAGUUAUACAGAUACGUGACAUCAGUAAUACCAAUAGGUGCAAUGUUUGCAAUGACUCUUUGGCUGGGAAAUACUGCCUACAUGUAUAUUUCUGUUGCAUUUGCACAGAUGUUGAAAGCAAUCAGUAAGUUUUCACUACUUUUUUGUUUUUUGAUCCACUGUAAAGCCUCUGGGCAUACGGAGCAAUGUCUUCUGUGUUAUUUGAUGGUUGGCCCUUUGGCUGUACGUUUGUUCAGCAGUCAGAAAGUAGGUUGGUCAACAGGUCUGGCGAUUGUAUAACCAUCCAUCAUGAUUAGGAAUUCUCUAUCCAAGUCUCUGAUUUCUUAAACAUAUGCAUGCAGCCAGUAGCUGUUUUCAUUCUUGGAGUAGCAGCAGGACUUGAGGUAAUGAGCGGCAGAAUGCUGUUGAUCAUGUCAGUGAUAAGUUUUGGUGUUCUUGUGGCUUCUUACGGUGAAAUAAAUAUCAGCUGGAUUGGAGUAGUUUAUCAGAUGGGAGGAGUUGUUGGAGAAGCUUUAAGACUUAUUUUUAUGGAGAUUUUUGUUAAAAGGAAGGGUCUCAAAUUAAACCCAAUAUCUCUCAUGUACUAUGUUAGCCCGUGCAGGUACACAUUUCUACUUUUAAAAUUCCUCAAGCUUUGCCGUUCUGCUUAUAUAAUUUUGUACACCUGUGUGAUUUGAGUAUUGAAUUUGUAUGCAGUGCUGUUUGCCUAUUCAUUCCAUGGAUCUUUUUGGAGAAAUCAAAGAUGGAAGAAAAUAGCUCAUGGAACUUUCCCCUGCUUGUGCUAACACUCAACUCUCUGUGUACUUUUGCCCUCAACUUAUCAGUUUUCCUGGUGAUCACUCAUACAAGUGCCUUGACCAUUCGCGUUGCGGGAGUUGUCAAGGAUUGGGUGGUUGUCUUAUUGUCUGCCAUUAUUUUUGCUGAUACAAAGCUCACUCCUAUAAAUCUGGUCGGUUAUGCCAUUGGUAAGUAUCUGACCUUGUCUCUUUCAAAGACUUGUUUAUUUUCCAAAAUAAUUAUUUGUCACAGUGAUGGUUUUUGAGUUCUACAUAUUUCUGAUUUUAAUAUAUACCACCAGGUUAUAUGUAGAUUGUGAUGUUAUAAUAACCCAGAGGUCUCUGAGUUGAUACUAGAUUCCGAUUAGUAGUAUACAAUUUUGAGUUUAAAGUGGCUUAGUUUUUGGGUGUUCAUUGAUAUCUGAUUGGGGGUGUUUUAGACAACAACACAGUGUUGUAUCUUUUCCUCUUUUGAAGGGUAACGCGGAAAUACCAUGAUAUAUUUUAAGAGUAAUGUCGAGAUGUUUAAAUGCAUAGUUUUGACUGACAAACAACAUAACGAAUUAAAUAUUAUCUACAAACCAAUACACAUGAUAAUGAUACAUUAGUUUUUAUGCAGCCAUAGCAGGUGUAGCGGCAUAUAAUAAUCACAAGUUAAAAAAGGAAGUCUCUAAAAGCAACUCUGACGAACCUGAAAGUUCUCAACCUAUACUAAUGGCUGCACCAUCAAAUUCCGACAAGUAGCGAUGUCACAGGAGCAUUCAGACUAGUUAUUUUUGAGGUAUGUUCAUUUAGCAAAAUGUUUCUUCCCGAAUCCAUUACUUAUCUUCUUGGGUUUUCAAACUGCCCCAGAAAUUGAUGAAUUGUGUGGUACUGUAGUGGCCGUUGCAAUUUACAUAGCUGGAUGGAACUCUAUAAAUAAUUUGAGAUUACGGUUUGUUGAAGCUUCGGUGGUUAAGGGCUUCCCUGUUUGUUAUCAUUGUUGCAGUUGCUCCUGUGGCGGUGUAAAUUUUGUGGCGGUUUGAAGCAGAACUGCCAUUCAAAGUAUAAAGAUGAGAAAUUCACACAAUUGUAACAUCAUCACAGAGGUAGGCAUUUCAAAAGUUGGUAUACUUCUGCUAAUCAUAGAUGAUUUGUAUGCAAAGCAAGUGCCAUUGUCACUGUCAUAGAAACUCUCUGUUUAUAAAUUUCCUGAUAAAUCUUUACAGCUCACAUUUGUAUCACAGCAUGGGCAUAUACGAUGCUUACUCUCUGUACAAAGAUUUAUACUUUGAACCUCGACUUUUUCCAUGGUAAAUUAUGUUCAGAGAAGUUUGUACCCCCUCCCCUGCUGCCGCUUAAACGGAGAAAUUCUUCGAUGGAAGAAUCUCCUGUAAAUGGCAGCAACCAAAUUGUUGCACAUGUAGAACGAAUUUGUUUGGGCGGAGAAAAAAAAUUUGAUAGAUAUCCAGAUUAAACUCGUCCGCUGAUAUUUUAACGCACCAAAUUGUUAUGGGCUUUGGUUUUUUUUCCCUCUCAAGACAAGUCGUGCACAAUUGUGAAACGGCGCAUGAUCAAAUUCUAUACUGUUGGGCUUCUGAGACGUAACACACGCACCAAAAAUACGGCGUUAGAAUGCUGGCACGUGAUAUAAUAAUUUCUCGUUUUCAACUUGCAAAUAUCGUCUCUAAAUUGUGUAUAUUCACGAAACUACGUUGUUGGAGGAUUGGUCUUUAAUUAGGAGAUACUUGAUAUAUGCAAAUUAGACCAGUUGGCUAAGGCAACGUGUUAGCACCCUUGCAUCUGAUGCGAUUCCUCUUCUUUAAAUGCAAGAUUGGAUAUCUUAUUGUAAAAAUCUGAAUGGUUUAGAAUCGCUCGAUAAAGUUGAAAAAAGAAAUAUUAUAUUUGAUGGGCCUUAGUUCGAAUUAGAAACUUAAUUAAACAACCCAACAAGGCCCAUAGCCCGCCUUUUGCGACAUCCGACUGUAGAGAUCCUGAAGAGGGAAGACCAAAUAAUAAAGAGGGAAAAUCAGGGGAUUUUUGGGGUUUGGAAGGUAAAGGGCUUUUCCUGCUUCGUCUCCUCCUUCUUCUUCUUCACAUCUCUCCCUCUCUCGCAUGUCUCUGCCCGUACCCGCCUUCUUCCCUCUCUCCCACUCUUUCCUUAUUUAAUCCUUUAAAAUUUUCAAAAAACAAUUUAAUAUUAUAAUUUUUUUUUAAUUCGAAUUUUUCCGUGGGAAGAAAUAGGCGGUAUUGGUGGGGGGAAGAGAUAUGCGAUUGGGGUGGUGGUGGUGCAGCAUCAUCAUCGGAAGGGCGGCGUCGUGUGAUGGUCGUCGUCGACGUUGACGUUGAUGGGCCUGCAAUUCCAAUUGCAGAUGAGUUGGCAGCCGAGUCUACUGAGUCAGAAGCGGAAGAAUGGCCUGCCGCCUCUAGGGUUACGCAACCUCGGCAACUCUUGCUACCUCAACAGCGUCCUCCAGUGCCUCACCUACACCCCUCCUCUCGCCAAUUUCUGCCUCCGCAAACUCCACACCUCUCUCUGUAAGUACAACUCUCUCUCUCUCUUCCUCUGUGAUUUUGUUUGAAUUCGAAUUCGAAUUCAACCGAAACGGCAUUGAAUUCAAUCUGCAGGUGACUCUUCGGAUGCGGAGCGGAAGCGCGACUGUCCCUUUUGCAUUCUGGAGAAGCAGAUAGUGCGGUCCCUGAGUCAGGAUCUCAGUCCGGAUGCGCCACAGAAGAUACAGAGCUGUCUCGGGAUUUUUGCCGAACACUUUCGGUGCGGACGACAGGAGGACGCUCAUGAGUUCCUGCGCUACGUCAUUGAUGCUUGCCACAACACCUGCCUUCGGCUCAUGAAGCUGCGACGCAAUGCCACAGCCAACGGAAACGCUGCCAAUGGCAAUGGCAAAAUGGCCAACGGCAUAGGCAAUGGGGAGGCGGCAACUUCAACGGUGGUGAAGGAGAUAUUUGGUGGAGCAUUGCAGAGCCAGGUGAAGUGUCUAUCUUGUGGCACAGAAUCCAAUAAGGUUGAUGAGAUAAUGGAUAUUAGUCUUGAUGUUUUGCAUUGUAAUUCGCUUAAAGACGCAUUGCAAAGGUUCUUUCAGCCUGAGAUUUUGGAUGGCCAGAACAAGUACAAAUGCGAAAGGUAUCAUCUCUCUCUCUCUCUCUCUCUCUCUCUCUCUCUCUCACUGCUUUUUCAUGUUUUGGGUGCUUGUCCUUUUGUUUUGGGUUUUGAUUGAGGUAUUUAUGCUGUCUUUAGUUGUAAGAAAUUGGUGGCAGCACGGAAGCAAAUGUCUUUUCUUCAAGCACCAAAUGUUCUUGUUAUUCAACUUAAGGUUAGUUUAUUAGUUACGUUCUGAUAUAUUUUUGCUAUUAGGUGCUUAAGUUGCUCCAUCCUGCCAUUUUUACUUUCGUUCAUUUAGUUUUCUUGACAAUGCUUUAUCGUUAUCUGUUGAUAGAGAUUUGAGGGUGUACUUGGCGGGAAGAUUGAUAAAUCUAUUUCAUUUGAGGAGUUUUUGGUGCUUUCAGGGUUCAUGUGCAAAACAAGCAAGGUGCGGUCUAGACUUUAACUUGUCAGUUUAAUGAAGUCAUUGCAUUGGAUAGUGUAUGGUUGCUUAAUUGGAAAGCGAGCUUAGUUGGAUUAGAUACUGCAUUAACAAUGAACUUAUUGAGCAUAGCAACAAUUACCUAUUUUUUAGGACAUAGAGUCCAAAACUUUGCAGCCUCCAUGUUCAGUUGAACCCUUGACCAAAUAACUAUCGAGCUUUUUAGAUCUUUGCAAAUCAUAUUAUAUAUAGUAUACCUAAUAUAAUAUGGAUGUGUGGUGUGCAGUAUUGAUAGUAGUCAACCUGUACUAAACCUACAAAAAAUACAUAUCUAGUUCUCUUCAGAGUGUCCCCAGCUAAUAUUGUUUUUUGCCAAAUGAGUUUGUCUCCACUUAAUUGAAUUCACAUAGGUUUAUAGGAUUGGUACAGUAAUUUGUUCCAACUAGUAGUUGCUUGUGCUUUCUUAAUUAUUUUUUCUGGGUUGAAUAGGUUCUUGUGCUUUAUAAGUUUUGUUUGAAUACAGUUGGCACUAGAAGCUUGUUGAAAUCUACGUGAUUCAGUUUGGAAUGUUAUGAUUCGGUGUCAUAUCAGCACCUUUCUUACUUAGAGGAAAACAAAGAGGUUAGUUCAGCAGCCCUAAAGUUCUCAAAGAACCUAAGAACCAAAAGCGAAUGCCAUUGCAAUCAAUAUUCAAGAGUUUCUUGUUAAGAGAAAGCUUAUUUUCGGCAACGCCCCCUGAAACUCCAACUUGUACUCACUUAACCCCCUCAAACUUGAUAUGUCUCAUUUAACCACCCCCCCCCGGGGAAACUCAAUUUUUCUCUCUUCCCCUCCCCACGUGUGCAUUCCCCUUUCCCCUGAUAAUGACGAAUUAAAGGUUGAACAGAUCGUUUAUUUUAGAACCAAUCAAGCUUAAUUCGAUGUGGAAUCAAACACCCAUUGGUGCAGUCAUUGUCCUUGACUACCUUGAUAGAGUUUACAGGAGAUAGGGGAGGGACGCAGGGGUUGUCGGGAGAGUCUGGAAGGGGAGGUCGACGUUGUUGGGUGAGGAGUGAGCUGUGGCCAUGGGAGAGAAAGAGAGGCUAACUGUAAUUUUUUCCAUUUAACUUAAUUAUUUUCAUUUAGUUAAUUUGUAACAUUUGUUUUUAAUAAUUAUUUUGCCAUGUAGGGUCCACAUGGCAUAAUUGUAGCAUAGUAAGUCUGAUUCAUGUCACAUCAGCUAUUUUGACUGAUUUAUUAACAAAUUUUGACGGUAGGGGUUAAAGUGAGACAAAAAUUGAGUUUCAGAGGGUCAAGUGAGGCAAAUUAAGUUCCCGGGGGUAACAUGAGAAUAAGUUUAAGUUCCAGAGGCUAACUAUAAUUUUUCUGUUUAACUUAAUUAUUUUCAUUUAAUUAAUUUGUAAAAUUUGUUUUUAAUUAAUUUUUUGUGCCAUGUAGGGUCAACAUGGCAUAAUUGUAGCAUAGUAGGUCUGAUUUAUGUCACAUCAGCUAUUUUGACGGAUUUAUUAACAAAUUUUGACUGUAGGGGUUAAAGUGAGACAAAAAUUGAGUUUCAGAGGGUUAAGUGAGGCAAAUUAAGUUCCAGGGGGUAAUCUAAGAAUAAGUUUGAGUUUCAGGGGGUGUUGCCAUAAAUAAGCCUUAAGAAAAUACUCGAGACGGUGAUAAACUUCUGAUAUUCUUAAGAAGAGUUAAGCCAACCGGCGGGUAAUCAAGAUGUUUGUUUUUGUUUUUUUUUAAAUUACAUUUCUGAGCCAACCAGUACAAAAUGAGUGUAAAUUAAAAAAGAACACAAAUAAUUGGUUAAAAUAUUUGCUAUAAUAGCAUGUUCAAUGUUUUCUUAUUGUAUUGUUUAAGUGAUCACAACACAGUCUGGAUGGUACUCCAGUUUAUUAAGUAUGUUUCUUUUUCAAUCUGUGCAUAGAGCGUCAGUGUGGGAGUUUACGUGGUUGGAGAAGGAAACUCCAAUUGUUAUCUUGGUUGAUUAAGGGCUGGUUUGGUAUUACUGUGCUUUGAAAAAAAAACUGCUUUUGCUGUGCUGUGAGAAUAAGCUCAUUUUUGCUGCUUCACGUUUUCAGUUUUUUUUCACCCAAAACUGUGAAAAUAAGCUGUUUUUAAGUGUUUACCAAACAUCUUUUUGAGCUCAGCUUUUUUUGAUACCCACUUUUUAUAAAAGCACCUAAGUACCAAACCAGUACUAAAUGUAGGGCUACGCUUAAACAAAGAAAAAUCUAGAGCUAGAAAUGGGAAAUGGGAACUGGAUAGGACUGUAGAAGGGGUUUAGAAAUUUAGACCAGAGAUAUCCAUCUAUUAUCCACAUGGUAGGACUAAGGCCUUGUUGAGAGGAGGUCUAUAUCCAACUCAUCACCUGUUCUAUUGAGAUGUUAUAUAUUCAGCACUAUGAACGACUUAUCUAGCAACCUCUUGCAGUCUAAAGAGGAAAUAGACAUCAUUAACAAUGCACAAAGGUGUGAUUUCUCGGUGAACCUCUUGUUUAUAGUCCCAUUUUUCAUGAUCGAUCUAUGACUUGGGUUUUAUCAUCUUUUCCAGCUAGUCAAAAGACUUUUCUGCCUUCACGGGGAAGUAUAAAGGAAAACAAAAAUCCAUUUGACUGCAACUUAUAUAUGAAAAUUACAAUGCAGGCUUUAUUUCUAGUGACAAUUAGGAGAUCCUCGAGAAGUUGUGUUAAGUUCGACUUAUUCUGUUUUGUGUGCUUUAUUGUAGUUUAACAUGGCUGUAACAGUUAUGUCACUGAAUAGUAAGUUUUGUUUGUUGCAUUCUUGUUUGAAUAGGUCAUUCUGAUUUACAUUCUGUUUGGGAAGCUAUAAUGUAGAUGCGUCAUGGUCUCUGUAUUUUUUUUUUCUGGCAUAUCAAUUAAAUACAUGUUGGAUUGUUGGUGAUUCCUUUGCAAAUGUUAUUUCUGAUUCUUUGUUGCAUAUCUCCUUUCUUGUAUUUCAAAAUGAGGCAGUCCAGGUCUUGGUUAUCUAAAAGAAUGGUUUUGAUGUCAAGAUUCUAUUCUAUCCUUAUAAAUAUUUCUUGAUGCUAGUGCAUGCGUUUUAUCUGACUCCCGUAUCAUGAGACUGUUGUUUGUUUCUAAUUAUUCCUUAUAUAUGGGUGAUGUUGCAGACAGUUGCGUUUCCUAUUAGUAAUGAUAUUGACUUUUUAAUUGCUAUGCAGGAUACGCGGCCAGAGUAUAAGCUUUUUGGUACUAUUGUGCAUUCAGGCUUCUCACCAGAGUCUGGUCACUAUUAUGCAUAUAUUAAGGUAUCUGUUCACCUAUCACCUUCUUUGCAAUCAGUAAAUUUGAAGCACACCAUAUCAACUAUAUACUUAUCUUGUUUUAUUUUGCUUUUCAUAAUCUAUGUACAGGAUGUCAUAGGUCGGUGGUAUUGCUGCAAUGAUUCAUCUGUCUCACUUUCAACCUUGCAAAAGGUCUUAUCUGAAAAGGUUUACAUCCUUUUCUUCUCUCGUACCAAUCAAAGGCCAGCAUUGGCUAGCACUGCUUCCAAUGGGGUGAGUUCUCAUGAUUGUAAUGGUCGUGAAACAUCUAAAACCCUGAAGUCCGCUCUUCCACCGAAAGGAGUUCAAACAAAACCUUAUGAUGUCUCAGCCGUAUCUAAAGUUGAUAAAGUGCCUUCCAGCCCACGGAUGAAGUUCAAUUUGAGCGGAAAUUCCAUCUCCAAGAGAGCACUCACAACUGAUAAUGGAAUAACCGUUUACAAGAAUCAAUCCUUAGGGUCAAACGGGGAAAGAUCUACUUCAACUGCUAAUGGAAAAAGUGUUUACAAGAAUCAGUCCUUAGGAUCAAACGAGGAAAGAGUUCCUGCAACUGAUAAUGGAAAAAUUGCUUACAAAAAUGAAUCGUGUGGGUCAAAUGGGGAAAGAACUCCUGCAAAUGAUAAUGGAAAAAUUGCUGACAAUAAUCAAUUAUUAGGAACAAAUGGGGAAAGAGCACGUGCAACUGAUACUGGUAAAAUUCCUUACAAGAAUCAAUCCACAGGAUUAAAUGGGGAUGCAAAGGACUCAGUUAGUUUGGAGAAAAGUGAGAAGUCAUUGUUGAUAAACAGGGAUUGUUUGAACAGGGGUAAAAGUCCUGCUAUAGUUGACGGUAACAGUAGCCAGGCAUCUUUAUUAUCACAAGUAAAUGAUGUAAAAGCUGAAGCCUGUGAAGGUGUUGAUACAAAAGACAGGUUGGCAGCUAGGAAAGUGCCUAACAGUAGCCAAGCAUCUUUGUUAUCACGAGGAAAUGUUGGUACUGGUUCAGUAAAAAUUGAAUCCUGUGAAGGUAUUGGUACAAAAGAUAGGUUGCCAGCUGGGAAAGUGCCUGAUACGAGUGAAUCGGAAAAAAGUGGUCUUCAUGGCCGCUCUAAAGUGUCUGGGUCUAAAAGAAAAUUUCUGGAUUCAUGCAUUCUGUUUGCACCUGAUGCUCAAUCACAGGCAGAAGUUGAAGGACUAAAGGAAAUGUAUGUGACACUCUACCACAUUCUUUGAAAUAAAAUGUCGGUCUAUAGAAACUUAUCUUGAUUAGGAUCAGGUCUUAAAAUGUGGCUUAAGAUGUGCUUGUUAUGGAUUGCAUAAUCUUUUGGAGUAUUUAUCUUACAGUAUCUUUCUUUUCAUACAUCUGUCUACCAUAUCCCCUUCGGUUCUCCCAUUGCCUUGCCAAAAGAAAGACCAUUCCCCAAGUGAUAAAUUUUAUGUUUGUUGUUCUAUGAGUUCAUAGCCGAAUACUCUGUCAGGUCCUUAAGUUAACCUGCACUAUA